UGUGGAAGCCUCACGAUUGAGAGAGUUGCUGCCAAAACUAGAAGAUCAAAGCAUAGGCCAUGGAUAAAUCCCCCUCUCACAAAAUACUAUUUUUAUGUUAUGAUACAUCUAGGGUACGGACUUAAAUUUUGGAUUUUUUUUUUUUAAGCUAACUACUUUAAAGAUCUCGAUUAUUUCUCUCCUUAUGUAUCCUAUUUGGUUAAACUUGAAGUAGUAACAAUCUUUUUUUCCAAAGAGUAGUUUCUAUCUUUCACUUAUAAGUUAUCUUCACAAAGAGUUUUUUUUGGUCAAACAGUAAAGGGUAAUUCAUGCAGUAAGAUUGCUCUUUAUCUAGACCCGACAGUUUCUUACACGACAUGGUGACAUGACACGAAAAUGACAAGAAAAUGACGGGUUUCGGGUCAACACAAUAACUAAUCGGGUCAUUAUCGGGUGACCCGUUAAUAACGGGUAUACACGUGGGUAAUCCGUUUCGACCCGUUAAGAAAACUAAAUUAUAAUUUUAAAGUUUAAUUACUAAAAAAAUUAUUAUAAAAUACAAUAGCCAUAUUGUAUAUAUUGGUAUAUUCUAUAUUAAAUAUAUAUUUUUGUAUUAUAAUUCUAUAUAAGUUAAAAAAAUUAAGUCUUAUUCAUUUAUUUAUUUUUAUUAUGAGAAUUUCUUAUUAUCAUUAAUAGGAUCAAUUUUACUUAACAUGUUGUUGUCUAAAAUUAAAAUCAACUAGUAUAGUAUUAGUAUAGGCAAUAAGACAUCCCUACAAAUAUGAAAAAUGUGAAAGAAUAUAUAAACACUCGUGAUUCAUCAUUCCUCCAUGAGUAGACAAUGGUUACACUUACAUUAUCGUUUAGAUUUUUAAAACCCUCCAAACCGUCAUGAAUGGUGUUUUUUAUUUGAGUGUAAAAGUAAUAAAAUUAAUAAUAAUUAUUGUAGAAGUGUAAGAAAUGUAAAAUAUAUAUAUAUAUAUAUAUAUAUACAAUCACUCGUAGUGACAAGCUUUACAAUUUUCGUGAAGGCGUCAGCUUCGAAAUCCGACACUAUAAUCCAUAAACCUUAAAUAUAUAUUUAACCGUCGAUUGUCAUUUAGGCUUUAUUCUUUAUAUUGAAUUUCAUUUUAAAAUUUUCUUUUUUGAAAACAUGAUCUUAUGGGGGAUGUAGGAAGAUGAACGGUUCGGAUCUUUGAUAUCACGUCCCAAUAUUUACGGUUAAUUGAAAUAUGAGUCGAUAUCAUAUAGUUUGUAGAGACUUUAUAAACACCAAGCAAUAUUUUUACUAACGGUAAAACUCUGAACAUAAUAUCAACUAUCCGAACCAUUCAUCUUCCUGUAUCCUCUAAUAGAUCAUGUUUUCAAAAAACAAAAUCUAAAAAAAAAAACAAAAUUUGGUGAGAAAAAUGAAGCAUAAAUGUAAACAACAAUCGACGGUUAAAUUUUGAUCCAUGAUUUAUUUGAUUAUAGUGGCACAUUUCAAAGUUAAGCCCUAGUUGUAAAGCUUGUCAUUAUGAGCGUUUAUAUAUAUAUUUUUUCUAUAUUUUUCACACUUCUACAUUAAUUAAAAAAAAACUAUUAAAGACUUUACUUAAACAAUAGCCAUAGGAUAAAUGAGAAGAGAGUGCUAAUGUAGAAAGUCUCACUGAAAAUAUCAUCAAUAUAACUCUUGAAGACAAUAAAUCAAGCCAAAGUUCCAAUACCGUUUCCCAUGGUGAUUGAUGAAAAUUGAAGAGUUUGAUUGUAAGAAAAUGUGCAAGGUUCCAAACAUUGAAACAUAGCUCCCUUAAUUAUGCAAAUCUUUUGAACAUUUGAUAUUUUGUAAUGUUCUAAUGUUUUUUUUUAAAUUAUGCUCUUAUUUUGGGUAUGUAAAUAUGUAAUACUUGAAAGACAAAUGCGUUUUUAUGUUUUGAAUGUGAUAAUAUAGUAUGUAUAUACUUAUUUAGUAUUAUGUUUUUCAUUUGAUGGUUCAAAAUAUAUUUUCCUUAACAGAUUACGGGUUGGGUCAUAUUACCUGUUAAUAUUAUCGGGUAGAUUUCGGGUCGGGUCAUUUUACCCGUUUAUUUUAAGGGGUGUUACACAACACGACCCUUUAAGAUAUCGGGUAUAACAUGAAAACGACACGAACACGGGAAACACGACACGAAUGCCAGGUCUAUCUUUACCAUGAGUAAUUUUACCGAUUUGAAUAUUAUUGAAACAAACCAAUAUUUAUUGAAAUAUAAGUCAAUAGAAUUGUUGAAUCACAAAACAAAUCACACUACUUCUAAUUGAAUCUAAACCUUGCAUAAAACUCCACAUCUAUUGGUUGCACAAGUAAUUAAGUGAGGACAAUAUUGAUGCGAUUAGUGUAGUAUAAUAUCAGCAUGUAGUAUGUACUACUAAUGUAGACAUUUCCUAUUUUGACACUUUGGUUUCAACCUUCUUGCCCACGCGUGUGAAAGAUAUGUUUUUUUAAUCAUGACGUUCUUGAUGGAGUUAGAAAUUUAAAACGAUGGGAUCAUAAAAUUGAAGCUUCCAAAAAAUGAUCAUACUUUGCAUAGAAUUCCCAAUUUAUAAUUUUUUUUCCUGCUAAAAAUUCAUUCCCAAUCAAUCAAUCAAUCAAUACAAAACCCUAAAACUUCCCAAUAAGCCCAAGAUGAGAAAAAUAUUGAUAUGAUUAAGAUUUCGUGAUAUAAUCAAGUGCGAUGAAGGUAGGUUGAUCGAACUUAAACACCGAAGAAGCUUUGAAUUGAGAGAUAUGAAGGCUGGGUGGAGAAGGCAUUUGCGUAUUUGAUAAGUCUUGAGCUUGUUUGAGAAUUAGCAUGAAAUUUCAAAGAGGGUAUUUUAUAUGCUAGUGGGGUCAACAGUAGCCAAUGCCCCAGAUUGGCUCCACCAUAUACCUCUUCUUUCGGAUAGUAGAAUAUGAAGUUCUUUGGAUUCCUCCUUAUGGUCUCGUACUCCCUAAAUAAGAGUCACAAACCAUUAUGUAAUGCUUUGAAAAUUUUAAAAUGCGCUUGUUAAGUUUCUAGAAUGGAUAAUCACCAAACUUUAUACAAAGUGAAACGAAACUAAUCGAAAAUAAUAAUAAUAAAGAUUGAAAACCGAAUAAGUUGCUGUAAAUUAUAAAACAAUAUUGAAUUUUUUUUUUGUUUUGAUUUUGGUAAGGGUCUGCCCUGGUGCGAAUUUCCCAAAUAAGGCAGUAGAAACAUGAAGUGGCCGUGUGAAAUGUGAGGUUCGAUGAGUUCAAUCACAAAGAGUCCCUCCUUUUGUGUAGAGGGUCGCACGACUAAUGUGCAGGUAUCUAGACCCAAGAAUUACUCCUUAAUAGAAGCUCAACUUACUUAUAGAAUUAAUGCACUUUUUGCACUAAAACGAUACAUUGUGGAAGUUUUAUAAAUACAUUUAGGGGUACAAGUUGGAUUGAAAGUUUUUGUUUUGACUGACUUUGAUAAAAUAAUUUCCAACUUUUGGCUGAUCCUAAUUCGCCCUCUAUAUUUUGAAAAUUUCAAAAUUUUUGGCAUACUGGAAUGUAUCUUCCGAAAGUUAUAUAAAUUUCUAGAACGCAUUUGAUUUUUAAGUUUGAACUACCUGAGAUGAUUGAUUUCAUGUUGAAAUUAUAUUAUUUCAAAAGUGAAAAUCUACUACAAGUGGUCCUUUAUCACAAUAGUGGAAAAGUGUUGAGCCAUUGCAUGAUGGCGUGGGUUCGAAUCCUGUCGGUGAUUAAUCUAACUCAGAAACCUUAUCCCCCCACGAGCCACGCAGAUGCACCUCCCUCCCCCUCCUCUCUUCCCCUUCUCCUCCUCUCUUCUCCCCCAUCUUCAUCUUCUUCCCCCGACCCCCUACCUUCAACCCAGAAAAAAAAAAAAAACCCAAAUCCUAUCUACGCUGCCAUCUCCAGGUUCGUGAGGUGAAAAUGAGAGGAAAUGGGUGUGGAUUUAAGGAGUGGGAUGUGUAGAGGAGAGAAGAGGGUGGGUGCCGGGGGGGGGGGGAGGGGGUGGGGGUGAAGAGGAGAAAUGGCUCGUGGAAGGUGGGGGUGGGGUGGGAUGGGGUGGGUUUUUGGAUGGGAAGGGAGCUGAAGAGAGUGGAGGAGAGGGAGGUGGUCGGGAGGCUUGGGAGGGAGAAGAGGGGUGGGGAGAGGUUGCGGGGGUGGGUUCUGCGUUUUCUAAGUUUUUAUUUUUAUUUUUUUAUUUUUUAUUUUUUUUAUAGAAGAUUCAGGUUUUUUCUUUUUAAAUUAAAUUUUUUUUUUUGCCAUGUGGCAACCACGUCAGCGUUUAACGGAUCAAUAGAUGGAAAAUGUAACUGAGGUAUUAUUUUGAAAUAAAAUAGUAUGUGAGGUAUGAAAGUGAAAUGUUUUAAAGAUGUUGUAUAAGGUUGUAAUAGACCUCAAACCUAAUGAGGUAUUAUGUAAUUUACCCUAGUUUUUUUAGGUUUCAAAUUGUUUGUCAUAUUAAAGAUUCCAAGUUAUUAUUGAAAGAAAUUUGAGAUAUAUAGUUUAGAAAUAUUUCAAAAUUUUGAAAAUGGAUGUUGAAAUUCCAUUUUUUUGCAGAAUGAAAAUUGAAAGACAUUUCUCAUACAAACAUUUUUUAAAUGAAAUUGGUACUCAUUAAUUCCGAUCACAUCCGUCCGAAUUAGGCCUAAAUACACCAAUUGAAAAUUUUUCAUUUUUUUUUUGGUUUUUGAUCCGGUCGAGUGUACUCUAUCAAAUUUAUAAUUCCAUUUAGAAGCCUUCGUUUCAACUUGGAAACACACCAAAACACAUGCUUGAAUUUAGAGAGAGCAUUUCUAACUAGUUUUAUCAACUAAUUAAUUCGCAUUACACCAAGAUGAUACAAGAGUGUCAUCCCCAACACCUACAGUACAACCCCAUUUCCUGAUCCAGAAGAAAUGGUAGCAAAAUAAUAAUGACACAAAAAAAAUAAAAAAUAGUUCUUCAUUUCUUUAAGUUCAAAUCUCUCCCUGCACAUGCAUGCUUCAACUUAUGGGAAUGGUUCAUUCCGAAUGAAGUUAGCUGAAACCUGUACACCUGCAUUAUUACACAUUGGUUUCCCUAAGUCCCAACCAGCCAGUAGUAUUUGGAAUGAAGAAGCAAUCAUUAUUUCUCAAAUCACACCACUUGUGAAGGGUAAUCAUCUCCUUCACUAGAAACACUUGAUCGGUAAUCUCCAUCGCUUUCUCCCUCGUUCAAUUCUUCAAUCUUCUCAACGACUUCAUUCAAAUCCAGCCUUCUCUCAAUAUCCUCCUCACAACAACUCACUCCAAUCUUCAAGAGCUUUAACAGUUCUCCUCUACUGUUCCCCACUCUCCCCAUUUCUACAUCAAACACCUCACUUGUUCUCUUUUCCUUGAUCAUUCCAUUGACCCAAUUUGCUAAAUCCGCCUUACUAUCAUAACUUUCCUUGAGGUAGUUCUCUGGGAACUUUCCGGUUAACACCUCCAAGAUUAUUAUUCCGAAGCACCAUAGGUCGGUCUUCUUUGUUAUACGUCGGUGCUGGGCGUAUUCGGGUGACUUGUAUGCCAUCAUCAGGUGUUGAGCUUGCUCCAUGUUGAUCACGGGGAGUAGAGCAUAGUCGUUCAGUAGGGGCUCAAAGUUUUCGUCUAAAAGCACAUUAGAGGAUUUCAGAUGACCAUGGGGUACAACCAAGCUAGGGAGUGUGCUGUAGAGGUAUGUCAAUCCCCUUGCUAUGCCUUUGAUUAUUCUCAAACGUGUUGGCCAAUCAAGCACGGGCAUAUCUGAAUUAUGAUUGCCUGUGAAAACAAAAAUUUACCACCAUGAUGUUAUUUCACUAUGAAUUAGUAAAUCAAUUCGUACUAUAUUUUAACGAUCACACUCUCACUCAGCAACGUGGAUUCCACUGAAUCUUAAGAGAAACGUCAUGAAAAAUGUAGUCAGUAAAUAUUGUAGGUGGAACAUAAUAGUACUCAUUCAAGCAUGCACAUAAUUAAGGAGACCUAAUGUUAAGCUAACUUGUGACACAAGAAAAAAAAAAAAAACUCACCGUGAAGAUGAGAAGCCAAGCUACCAUUCUCCACAAAGUCAGAAACCAAGAGCUUCUCUUCCCUUCUAUAAUAAUAGGCCACCAGAGGCAACAAGUUUUGGUGUGUCAAUCUUCCAAGCCUUCUCAUGUGCUCAUGGAACUCCUCUCUUCCCACAUUGUUCAUCUGCUUAUACCUCUUGACCACCACAACAUCAGUCAUGAUCAAAGCCUUGUAGGAAGCCCCAAAAUUCCCGCUCCCCAAGAUUUCAGCCGAGGCUCUGAGAAGGUCAUGCAAAUCAAACCUCUGUCUGUCAUCCCUCACAAAUGACAACUUUCCCUGGUCAGCUCUCUUUGGAUGUGGGUUAGUUUCUACCGACUUAACAUCCAUUUGGCUGCUUGCAGCAGCUGCCGUAUAAUUGGAGGACUCGUCCAAUGAUUCAGUCCCGUCUAAUUCUGAUCGUUGCUUUCUCUUGUUGAGGAACAUGAAAAUCGCAGCAAUGAGGGCCAGUAGAAGUAAUAGACUCACCACAAUUAGGGCUACUUUUAGACCUGACGGCUUCUUAGACGCACCGCAUGAAUCCCCCGUGCAUUCAGGCGGUGGGGCAGGAGUUGUAGGAGGAGGAGCAGGUGGAGAAGGAGGAGGAGGAGGGGGGCUGCAUGCUCCCUGAAGAGGCGAACCACAUAGCUUUCCAUUGCCUGCAUUUUGGUUAAAAUCAGAUCCAAAUUCAUAAAUGGUUAAUGGUGAUGAUUUAAAUGAAGGAUGAUGACCCUAAUGGGAAAAUUUUGAUGAUCACAUCCGUUGCAAUUUCACUUUGAAUUCAAAAUGAAUCAGUCAUCUACAUUUCAGUUUCAAUUCAAAACUAAUCAGUCAAACAAAUAUAGCAACAAAACUAACGCAUGAACGAUAUUAAUUAAUUACCUGCAAAGUUACUUGGAUCCAUCUUUUUUAGGCUUUCUGGAACUGGACCCUCCAAAUCAUUUUGAGAUACAUUCAACCUCUUCAAAGACUUGUGCUUAAAAUCAGGUAUUUGGCCACUAAACUUGUUCCCCUCAAGACCCACAUCGAAAACCCUAGGCAAAGUAGUAAGGGAAGACGGGAUUUUGCCGGAAAACUCAUUGUUUGCAAGAUACAAUUUCCUCAACAAAUGCAUACCUUCAAAUUCAUCGGCUGGAAUCUCACCAGAGAAAUGAUUGUAGGACAAAUACAAAGACCUUAACUUUUUAAAUUUCUUAAGGUCCGGCAAUGGACCAUCCAACACGUUAUUCAUGAAGCUUAGGGUUUUCAAAUAAGGCAACUGAGCGAGAGGCUCCAAAUCCAGCUUUCCCUGUAAACCCAAGUUUUCGAGCUGCAAUCCCCGGACAUUCCCAUUAAAGCAAAGCACGCCAACCCAAUUCGCCUUGUUACCAUUACACGGGUUUUUGUUAGGAUCCCAAUUUCUAAGAGCCUCGGUGUUGUUUCCCAAUUGCAACGUUUUCUUGAACUUCAAAAGGGCAUCGGUGGUUGUAUCCAUUGGUGAACCAAACGGUAAAACCGCCAUGCAUGAUACAUAACCAACAAAGAGGGUAAGAAAAAAUGUUGGGGUAGGGUUUGGUGCGCGCAUAAGCCUAGUCAUAGCCAUAUGCGCGCCCAUUACCAUGCAAUGUUGUUGUAGUACAAACCAAAAGGGGUUCCCAGCUUAAUUAAUCAGAAAUUGAACUGGUUUCUAAUUAAAUGAACAAACUAAAUCCCCUUCCCUCCCUCCCUCCCUCCCUCUCUCUCUGGGUUUUUAGUUUUGUUAUUGGUGCUUAUUGACAAUGGGAAUUAGAGGAUGUGCAAAAAGGUGGGCGUGAAGGGACCAAAAACCAAAGAAGAGGAAGAGGUGGAGAGAAUGAUAUUGGAAGAAAUCAAGGAAACCAUGGUCUGUGAAAAUUGACAAGGUCUAAUUAGUGCGGCAUGACAGCUCAAUUGGGUUGUUUUUGUGUGUUGGAUAGAGGUUGAGUUUAAGGGAGGAGAUAUCUAAGGCCGGCCUUUCAAUUGGAAAUGUUGUUUUGCUAUAUUUUGUGAGCAAAGUUUUGUUGUCUUGCCAAUUAUAGGGUUGUGAUGACUGAUCGUGCUAAUUUCCUUAAGUUCCACAAUGAUGAAUUUCCUUAGAUAUUUCAUAACUAAUUAAAAGAGGAAAUUAACCAAAUUAAUCAGCUUAUUCGAAUGUUUUUAAAAUUUUUAGUUUUAUAGUUCGAGAUGGGAUUUAGAUGUUAAACUUAUUUUGCCAAGGACGAGAUUAAGUUGCAAUAAUCACAAUCAAGAAAGCUCGAAACCUUUUACAUAUAAAACACUGCAAACCUACUAACUUGAUGAACCUCCUUUGGAAGUUGCCAUGGUAGCUGAUUUCCAAUCUCAGUACGCUGCAAACCUUCUCCUCUCUGUCAGAUUGUUCUAAGCUCUAACCAAGAAUAGGACUUAGUUCUGAAUCGAGCACACAUCUGUGAGAGCAGAGGUUACAACAUACAUAUAUAUAUAUAUAUAUAUAAGCACAUAUAUAUCCUUCUUAUAACUUGACAAGGAUUCCCUAUUAAAAUUUAAUAGAAAACAACUUAUGUUUUCCAAUCCAUAUCAGUUUACAUGCUAUAACAGAAUCCUUCACAAACAAGGAUUUGCACACAGCUCCUCAUGGCUUUCCUAUUCCAAUCGGACUUAAUCAUUCACUGUCAAAAUAUCCAAUCUCAUGUUCAUAUUCUUACAUUAGAUUCUUAGGACCAUAUUAUAUAUGUACUAUAUCAAGCAAGGGUUAAUUUCUAGUUAGAAACCAGAAAGUAGAAGAAGUAAUGCAUAUGGUUUGUAUCUGCUAACAGGAAUAUAGUGUUCAAGCAAGAUUUGUUUUGAUAUUGGCACCUUCCUAAAUGGAGUAAAUUGGUUCUCUCAAACUUCGGAAAACCCUAGUGCUAAUGUGUUAGUUUGUUUUUACCCUUAUUGAAGCUAAGUUAUAUUUAUUCUGGGUGAUGCUAGAUCAUCAAAUUUUCAAACCAUCUUUUGUAAACUGACACAUCCCGACCUAAAUCAAGGCGUGCUGGCCGUCAUGUGAGGGAGACGUAGCCAUGUGCGCAGUGCGGAAGUGAUAAGGAUAUAAAAAUGUGAAUAAAAAAAAACCCAAUUUAACUAAUUUACACUAGAUGAAAAUAUAGGUGCUAGAGACGAGAUUUAAGUAUAAUUACACAUAACCAGAGUAUAGGUAACCUAAGUGCAGUCCAGCAGGACAAAUACUAAUUAUACAAUACCAGAAAGAUGGUCCUACAUUAAUUACAGUCUGUCAAAACCGCUGUCAACUCCUCGCAAGCCACCAACAAGCACACCUACCUAGAACCUGGAGGGGCGCAAAACAGAAAGUGUGAGUGAGCAAAAACAAAGCUUUUCAAAACCAUUUCACUUAUUAAAAGUAAUAACCCCUCGCCGUAAAACCCGUAUAAUUACCCAGAAAAUAGAAUACAUAUCUAUAUCGAAACCAUAAUUGAAAUAGCCAAAUCCACAUGUACGUCAUGCCAAAUAUCUCAACAUAAUGAAAUAAGUAAACCAGGUGAAGUAAAUCAAUGAAAAGUAAUAUGUUAGCCAGAUCCACCUAUUGUGGCCUGUACGGCUGAACCUAUAGCUCAUCAAAUAUGCCUACACAUGAGUUGGAACCACCUAGAAUGGUCUGUACGACAGGACUGGAUGUAAAUAAAUACGCUCAAGUGCUACGAUCACGUGAAGACUGUGCGAAUAGUCGCGGGUCACCUACGAGUCAGAACCACCUAUAGUGGUUCGUACGACAGGACUGUGCACCUAACUUGGAUCCAAGGUGAGCAUGCAGUUCGGGAGGUGAACAUCACGUGAAGGACUGUGCCCUGUCCAUGGGUAGGAGCAUUAACACCGGGGUGCAGGUUUAUGAAUUCUAAAUGCAUCAAAUGUAAUCAUAACCAUGCAACUCACAUCCACAAUAUAUAAACCCACCUGGAACUUACCUGAGCAUUCGCAGCACCAACAAUAAUAUAUGCAACUACUAAAUGCAUAUUCUAAGUAUAAAACAUUUGGCAUGGCAUUCAAAACAUAAAACCAUUUAAAUAAGUUUUAUGGGAAAAAUACCAAGCAUAUCUAUAUAUAUAUAUAUAUAUAUAUAUAUAUAUAUAUACUGAAAACCAAAAGCCCACUCACUGAUAUGUGCAAGGGUCGUAACCCCCGAGUCUCGCUUGACUGCACUCGUCCUCUGGAAACGUCUCAUAUAUGUGAAACAACUAUUUUAACGUUAUUUUAAGCAUAUAACCAAAACUAGGAAAUAACUUCUCAUACGUUGCUCAAUUGGGGUAUUUGAAUAUACCAUCGUGGCCCACUCAAGCCCACGAACAUCCCCAUAUUUUUAGAAAAAAUUUCUAAGUUCCCACACGUCCUCACGCAUUGGCCAAGGCAUGGCCACACGCGUCGCCCACGCGCAAGCGCGUGCCUGGCACACUGACGGAUUCCUUAACGACGUUAGGGAAUAUUUCGUUAAAUAAUAGCAUAUUCCAUCAAAAUUGACCGAAUAUUCAUCUUCUCCCUCGGUUCGCCGGAGUCCCGCGCCGACCACUGCUGCACUCGUCGGUUUCUAGAAAAACUUUAAACCUUAAUAUCUCACUCAUUUCUCAACCAAUUUCCAUGAAAUUUGUACCAAAAUGAAGCUCUGGACAAGGAGAACAAAGUCUUACCACUUUUACGUCCUAAACCCAACAGAAACUGGUCGAAAAAAUUUCUUGAAAAACUGGCUAAGUCUGCAACUCAACGAACUCGAGUGUCUCGACGUCCAAAACCUUCCAAAACUUCUCUAACAACUUCGUACAUUUGUUUUAAGUCCCCCAGAACUUUAAAACUCCGAGAAACACCCAUGAUCACGUCGGAGCUCACUGGUUCUCGAGUUCCCAAGAUUUUUCCUCCAAAUUAAGGGUAUAGUUCGACUCCUGAGCUUCCAAGGAACCCGGAAGUAACCUCCACUAGCUCGAUCUACGACGAUUUGAAGGGAUUUGUGGCUGGUCUUAGGUGUACAAAGAGAGAGAGUUCGAGAACGAGAGGCAGUACAUGAAGGUGAACAUAUGUGAAGGUGUGUGUGUGUGUCUUGAUCCGGAUUGAGCACCCAUAUACAAUUCUUAAGCUCUAAUUGGGCCACCAAUUAUAGGCUAAAAAUUAUCCCAAACAACCCCAAAUUUCAAUUGGGUCCAAAGAAGUCGGAAAUGAGAUAAUUGGUCCAUUUCCUUAGUCCAUUUAUACAUUCACAACCUAACGCUCAAGGGUAAAAUCGACAUUUCCAUGCUAUCGGGGAUAAAAUACAUUAUAAUUCGGGAUGAGUCGUCACAAAACUACAUGAUGUGGUGAUUGAUGGUUGGGCUUCUUUUUAAUGAUUUUAAAAAAAAAAAGUCCAACCAUCAAAUGACACAUCAUAUGGUUUACAAAAAAAAAAAAAAAAGUCUAUAAAUUUGAUAUUCUUAGUAUUUGAUACCAUAAAGUCAAUUGAAGAAAGUUGAAGUUUCACCAUAAAACCAAUUUGGAAUAUGGAAGUACCCCAACUACUUAUAAGCACAUGCAAUGUCUCUCCUCCUAUCAAUGUGAGAUCAUUAAUUCUCAACACACCUCCUCAUGUGUGGUAAAUUUCAAGCCUAACACGUGGACAACACAAAUGAGGUGACAUGGAGCAUAUGUGGCCGUUGGGUUUCACACAUGAGAUAACAUGGCUUUGGUACCAUGAAGGAAGUUGAGGUUCCACCAUAAAACCAAUUGGCAAUAUAGGGAAUAGUCCAACCUUUUAUAAACUCUUGCAAGGUUUCUUAUUUCACCAGCGUGAGACUGUUUUAUUUUCACAUCCUAACACAUUAUCCCAAGUGCAACCUAACCCCAAUAAUAUUUCCAAGGGAACCGAUGCGACGAUCGGUUAAAGGCCUAUUUGGAAGUGAUUUGAAAGCAGGGAUGGAGCUAGAGACUUUUUCAAAUGGGAGCAUCCUAAAACAACAAGGUAAAAUUAAAACUGCAAUGCAUUUUAUAUACUAAAUGAAACACUUAUUUGUUAAUUCAUAAUAUUUUACGUGUAAUACAUUACAAUUUUCCUCCAUUUGCUUAAUGUUUAAGAACAACCCGAUUUUAUUAAAUCUCUCUUUCCCUUUGUAUAUAUUUCAAUUUUUACAAAGAAUUCAUCACAAUACAUAUACCUUUUUUUUUUUUUUUUUUUGAGUUACAUUUUGAUAGUUACCAAUUAAUGUAUAGCUUAACAGAGAGAUGCAUUAAACAAAUAAUUUAUCAAGAGAAAUUAAAUGAUAUCCACACAUCCCUUUAAUCCUUUUAUACACACUUGUUUAUUUUUGUUCAUUAAAUAAGUACUCAACCUAUUGAAAAUGUAAUAUAUGUUAAGCCCCAGUUAAUUUAUUCUAUUAAAUAUACAUGUGGCAACAAUCGAUCCCAAUCUUUAGCUUACUUGGACACCAUAAUAAUAAUAAUAAUAAUAAUAACAUUAAAAAAGACAUGAAGAUGAAAAUGAAUACACAAAUUCACAAGUAAAAUGGAAAAAUGAAGAUUGGGAAAUAUCAAGCCCACACCACCUCCAAACUCAACCCACAACCACUAAAACCCCCAACCUUUAUAUUCAAAAUCCACCAACUAGAUGUAUCAUGAUCAACGUUAAUAUUAGUUGCCUCAAAAUCUAAAUUUUAAAUACGACACGCCCCGACCUCGAUGUCCUCGGGACAUCAGGAUGGUCACGUGCUGGCCGACACUCGAAGGGUGACGAAAGCCAUUUAAUUUAAGUAAAAGCUAAGAAAUAUGCUAAAACGGGCAAUAGGAACUAAUAAUACCAAACUAACGUCCAACUGCUAAUUAAUAAAAUUAUGGUCAUAUACAUAAGUUCAGAGCAUAAGUCUAUUACAGAGUAUAAGCGGAACUUAAGACAGAGAAGUGCUAUAUUACAAUAGGUGCAGAAGCAAAGAAUAUAUAGCACUGAAUCACUGGUAGGGAAAUGCCUCGUAGCUCAUGUCAUAAUCCUCGUUCAUAGGUCCUGAAGGGGGCGCAAAACAAACGUGAGUGGACUAAUUUGAUAUAUAUAUAUAUAUAUAUAUAUAUAUAUAUAUAUAACAGUUAUCAACAUACUAACCCCUAAGUUUAUGAAAAUACAUAUAUAAUGAAAAACAUAGGUUUUCCGAAACCUAGCAUGUUGUGCAAUGUUUCAAAAUAUAACUUGUAUAUAUAAUAAUCACUGGUGAGUGUCUGAUAACCCCCAGGCCCUAUGCCGGCUCCCCGUCUCUGAGCAGACAGUCAGAGGAAAAUACAUUUCAGGCCCCAUGCCAACUCCCCGUCCCUAUGCUAAAUAGCCAAAGGAAACACACUCUAGGCCCUAUGCCAACACCAAACCAUCGCCCGGGACGGACUGGAAUCUAUCCCUACGUCUCGUAGCGAAAAGGACCACUAAGUAAGUACAAAACCAUUAACAUAUUUAUAUUGAAAAACAACUUCAUAGUAUAAAGUCAUCCAUCAUCUAUACUAUAAAGAGGUGUUCUAAACAUGUUCUAAGUAUCAUAUCAUCAUCCAUCAGAUAUUUUAUAAGAACAUGGGUUAUAUGAAAAAUAGUAGUAAUUUAAUCUAGCCUCAGUAAACAUGUUAUAUUACAAAACAUUUCAUAAAACAUAACAUUAAAUCAUGCUUUUCAUGUAUGUAUUUCUACUAUUAAAACAUUCUUUUGAAGGGGUCCACUCAUCAUACAUCGAUGGUGCAAAGCUAUACCAAAAAGGAAUAACAGAAUCACCAUUAAUAAUUGCACCUAUUCACAUGAAGGAGUACCUUUAGUCAAACUCUAAUCAAACAAUUGAAUUUAGGAAAACGAAAUUUAAAAACGGGUCCAAAACGUCGAAAUUAGCCCAAGAGAGGUCCCAGACGAAACCCUGAAAAGUCAACUCCAAAAGUCAACGUUGACUGUUGAUCGGUCAAAGUCAAAGUCAAAGUCAACGGUCAAUUGGGUCAAACGGUCAAAGGUCAGACUGGCUUGGAUUUGGGUUGGGCCGAUUAGGCCCUAAGGGUUUUGGGUCUAAAGGGUUAAUAGGUGGGAUAAGUUAUAAGGGAAAUGGGUUAGGAGCUCUCUAGGCUCAGGCCCAGACCUACACGGCCCGAGGGCCUCAUUAUAAAGAGUUUAGGGGGAUUGGGCUUAAGCCCCUUAAAAGAAAAUGGACCAAAGGGCCCUAUUUAAAUAAAACAAAAGCUAAAUAGGUUUUAGGUUGGGUCAACGGGCCACAGGCCCUAAACAAAACGGUCCAAAGGCCUUUUGGGUUAUAAAGAAAUAAAACAAAAACAAAAUAAAAUAAAAAGGAAAUGGGUUAGGGUUUUGGGUUGAGCUCACCACGAGCCUAAAGCCCGAGUGCCUUAGCAGCUUAAAAGGCCUGGUGCACCGAAGAAGAACGCUGGAGCUUUCCCAGCUCCGACCGACUGCAAACAACAACCCUAGACUCCGAUCUAGGUGCCAAAAUGAAACACAAGACGAGAGGAACAACUUUAUACCUUCCUUUUGCCGUAGAAUAACCGGAGAUGACCGAAAAUUCCCUCAACACCCACGGCCUUGCAGGAGCUGGGUGUGCCUUCCCCUGACUCGAUUUCGUUCUAAAACUUCGACAACAACGCAAUAAACCCAUUCAAAACACAUUCACGUAUGAUUCUAGGACGAAAUAGGAAGAACUCGAAGCUUACCUAACCGGAGAAAUAGGAAAUCUCGCCGGAGAUCGUUUUUUGGGUUUUGUCUUUGUACCACAGGAAAUAAAGAGAGCUGAUGAAGGAUUGAUGAUGAUGGUGUCUUCCUCGCAGGUGAUGCAGCUGGAUGUGUGUGUGUGUGUGUGUUCACGGUGCAAGAGAGGGAGAGAAAGAUGAGGGUUUCGAGAGGGAGAGAGAAGAGAGAAAAAGAAGAAGAUGAAGUCACGGGAGGGGUAGGGGACAGAGAGAGAAAUGUGAGAUUGUUAAGGUGUUGCCACGUGGCAGCUUAAGAAUAAAGAGAAUCAAAGUUUUAGAUCCUGAUAGGGUGAUAGAAUUAGGACUAAAUUGAUAGAUUAAUAACAGGUUUGGGGAUAAUUACCUAAUUAUAUUAUCUAUAAAUGAAGGUGGGUGUAACAAAAUAUGUAUUAUAUAAUAUGGAACCCAAUGAUCAAACGAGUAUUGAAUUGAAUAAAAUAUGGACUAAAAUUGAAAUUACAUAAAGAUGGCAAUCUCCUAACAAAGAAGAGGAUUAAGAAUUCAGAUAAGAUUUCAAAGAGCUUGUUUUUGUUCUUGUGAUUUUUUCAUCGCCAGAAUCCAGAUAAGAUUCCAAAGAGCGUGUUUCUACUCUUGUGAUUUUUUCAUCACCAAUGCUCAUCUUGUAAAACUUCCAGUUCUUCUUUAUGGGCAGUAAAGAUGGUGCUGAGAGCAUCAUGUUAGUCCAUAUCAUUUCAGCAACCUCCAUGACCUUCUUCUUGAUGUUAGCGACUUAAGUUUUAGGGUGGAGUUAAGGGUUGUGCGUUGGGUUUGGAGGUGAUAGCCUAAUAGGGGUAAUGGGGAUCAAUAGUUGGUGGAGGCCAAGCUUCCAAGACAUUCUAUUGAUUUUGGAAACUAAAUAAAACCUAGUUAAUUUUACAUAAAUUUAAUUGGGGCUUAACGAAUGUGACAUUUUCAAUAGGUUGGGUAUUUAUUUGGAAUAUUUAAAAAGGUUGAGACAAAUUUGAAAUGACAAUAAAAGUUUGAGAGGUUUUAGGUACUUAAUCCUCGAUUUCUUUUUAUUUAUUCAUCAAAUGGCUAGCUAGAAAUAUGUAGGGAGAGAAGAUGAUUGUGUGAAAAUCAUUUUCCUUUAUCUAUACAUAUAAAGCCAGAAGGCAAAAACAAAAAUGAUAGCAUAAAUCAAUUAGAAUGAAAAACUCCAAAUUAGGAUAAAAUUAGGUCGAUAAUGCUUAAUUUCUAUUGCAUAUGGCAUAAGAUAAUGGUGGGGUGGUGUUAGCAAAAUGCAAGUGAAAAAUGUAUUUCAUUAGAGUGAGUUAUUAUAUAUGUGAGGUUUUUAUUUGGAAAUUGAUAUUACAUGUACCCUUUUGUGGCAAACCAUGAGAAUGAGGGUAUCCGCCUUGGCAAACGAGUUGUGUUUGCCGUGUUUGGAUCAUGUUUGUUGUGUUCGUGUAACACCUAUUAUCUUAACGGAUCAUCUUGUGUCACACCCACUAUUUUAAAGGGUAAAAUGACUCGACCUGUUAAGAAAAAUAUUUUUUUUCUUUCUAAAUUUGCAAAUGCCAGAUCGCCACAUAAAUAUUACUUCAAAACACAAAAACGCAAUUGUCGUUAAGUGCUAUAUAUAUCUACAUACUCCAUAAUAAGAACCUAAUAAAAAAGUAUCAAUACACUACUAGUAUACUACAAAAUAUAAAAUAUGCAAGGAUAUGCAAAAUGAAGGAGUUUUUCUUUUCAAGGUUGUGAAACCUUUCUAAGAAGUUAAAACCUUCACAAUGAAACUCAAAGCUUGCAUGUCGUUCUUUUUACAAAAUCCUUCUAGUUUCAUCGAUCAUCAUGGAGAAAUUGUAUUGGAACUUUGGCUUGAUCUAUUGUCUUCAAGAGUUAUAUUGAUGAUGUUUUCGGUAAGGCUUUCCACAUCAAAACUCUCUUCCACAUAAACCAAGUAUAGAAAAUCAAACAUUAUAAACCAUUCAAAUUAUGAGAAGUUUACCAAAUAUAAUUAUAAAAAGAAAUAAAACAAUAAUACUAUACCAUAUAAAAAUAUAUUACCUCAUUUUCCAAAUAGCUAAUCUCGUUGCACAACAAAGCUUGAAAUGUUUCUGACAACAAUAAACUACGAUACUAAUCUAGUCUACCCCCAAUACUAAAUGCAAAUUCUGACGCAACAGUUGAAUGAGAAUUGUUAACACAUCUCGUGCUAACUGAGAAAGUAUCAGAUAAUGAAAACACUCGAUUUGUCACUAAGAAAGAACAUCUAUGUCUAAUUUUCUAACUAUUCUUUUAUCCUCCAAAUACUUCUGCAAUUCACUUUUUUCAAUCAAACUUGAACUAUUGUAAUUAUUAUCAAAAUUCUACAUUAUAAAAAAUAAAAAGAAAACAUAAUAAGAAUCAUGCAUCAUGCCAAUUUCAAAUGUAAUAUCAACACUUUUUACAAUACUAGUUAUAUGUUUUUACAAUACUAGUUAUAUGUAUAAAGUAAGACAAAAACAAACUUAGGUUACCUGAAAGAGAACAUCUCCACCUUUUGUUUGAUGAUUAGGCACCAAAUGCACUGGAGUGUUUGAAUUAUCAAGACAAGAAAUAUUAAAUUAAUAUUUUUAGAGGUAUAAAAUCCUACUACUGUUAAGUAUAGUAUUAUGCUUCGUGGUAUAAAAUUAUUAAUUUAAUAUAUUUUUUUUGUGUAACGGGUUAUUCACGUGUAUACAUGAACUGGCCUAUUAUUUUAACAAGUGCUUAUUAGAUUACCAGAUUCGUUAUUAUGUCAACCUGAAAACUUGUUAAUUUCGUGUCAUUUCAUGUCGUGUUAACAGAUCGUAUAAAAAAUUGUAAGCCCGUGUGGUGGCUCCGUCCCUGUUUGAGAGAACUAAAAUCACACAUGAAAGGUGUUUUUCAAUAAAAUCACUUUCUUUUUUUUUGUUUCUUUUCUUUUUUUGUCGAAACAAUAAAAUCACUUUCAAACCUUAGAUAUUUUCUAGGUUAAAGUCAAGACCCCGAGUUUUAGAAGUGACUAUCAAAUUGAUAACCAUUGACAAAAAUAGCUCCCACGAAAAAGGGGUUGGCAGAAAACCUGGGGGCUAUUGCGGUCAAGUUUGAAGUUGAAAAGCCAAAUGGCCUAAAAACACGAUAGCAAUAAUAUUGGAAAAUAUGCAGCAAGUCAUGCCUAACUUUCCGGCUGAGCCAUUCGUCAGGGAAGUAGCAGCAUCCUUAUAGAAGGCUCACACUACAUUGGAAAUUUAGAAUACAAACCAACAUUUGUUUAAUCACAUUCAAGUCUCUCUGUUGAAAGAGUGGCAUGAAAUAAUAAACGUGCUUCUUCAAGUCAUCACCCUCUUCAUUGUCAAUUACUCAAACUGAUCUUCAUAAGUUUGAUUAAUUUUUGCUCAAGUAUCACCUGAAUUUGUAAGCAUAUACGAUAAUACCACAACUUUCAUUUUUUAUUUUUUUACCAUCUGGACACUCUUAACUUUUUUUUUUUUUGAAAUCUAUCACCUAAGUUAUUUUCCAUCCAUUUUACCAUUAAAACAUGCCACAUAUAGAGAUAUUUUCGCCAAUUAACUCAUGGGCGGGCUAGAAUCAAAUUUACUCCCUAAUGAUGUCUAGGUCAAUAUGGUGCCAAAAUUGGUGGUUUGUACAACCCUAGUCCAUCAAUUCCCUCUAUAAGAGUUUGAAAAAUUAAUAUAUAUAUAUAAAUUAAGGUGAACCACGCAUCCACUUGUUGACCUAGAAAACAACUCUUGAAAGCUACUACAAAUGAAAGACAACAUUUUUGCAUAAUUUUCACUUCUAUUCUUCAACAACCCUCGCAAAAUCAAACUUGAAACCAACUUCUCCCUUUCUCUUCAUGAUCUGACUCCAACAACGCUACCAAAAAAAAUGUCUUUUGCCUUCAUACAAAUUGAUUCCAGCAAGCCUUAGGAAGUGAAUUGACAAAAAUAUCCCUCCACAUGAGAGGCACGUGACAUGUUUUAAUGGAAAAUUGGAUGGAAAAUAAUGUAGGUGAUAAAUUCCUACAGUUAAGAGAGUCCAUGUGGUAAAAAUAAAAAAUAAAAAGUUCAGUUGGAAUUGACGCACAUGCUUGCAAGUUUAGGUGAUACUUGUGCAAAAUCCCCUUAAUUUUUUCUUUAACUAAUUACCUAAUUUUUGGCACUUAAAAGUCCAAUUUUUGCUUGAAGCCGCCUUUGUAACGCACAAUUGGUCUUAGUCUAGAACCCAACUAAUUAAUUAUGAUUCAUGUUUGUACGCUCCUAUCAGAUUUCCUUAAUACUCUAUUUUACCGUUCUUAUUUAUUAGUUAUAAAAAUAAAAAAAAUAAAAAAAUAACUGUAAUAUUCAUUAAGGGAAGAAAAAAAUGUUCAACAUUAAGCCCAAAAUUUAAAAUAAAUUUGCAGCAAUCUUUCUAGGAAAUAAAAUUGAUAACUUUUUUAGUUAAAAUCUUCUAGAUGGACUAUAUGUGUGUUAUCUUAAGCAGACUGAGAUUGGAAGUAAAUUUAAAAAAUGUAAGAAGAACAUGAAUUAAUAAUAAAAUAUAACUAUUUGGACACAUAAAAUUAACACGGUUGUUGGCAUGUACACUCUUUAAUAGAGCCGGAAUUCACUUGUAUUGGAGCAUAUGUCAGCAAGUGUUAAUUCUGUGUUUGAAUAUCAUUGUCACAACAUUUAUAAGGGAAGUGUUAUUGGCACUCCAAAAAUCUCAUUCUACACUCCUCACAAGUGUAUUUUUCUUUCCUAAUAUAGAAAGUUUAGAGUGUAGAAUGAGAUUUUUGGAAUACUAAUAACAAUUCCCAUUUAUAAUAUGAUAAUAAAAUCAUAAUCGUAAUUAAUUCAAAGAGGCCAGUUUAGAUGCUAGUGGUCAACUUUAUAUUUAAUUCUUCCUACUCUCCUUUUCCAAGAAGAAAAGCAAACAAAUUCAACAGUAUUAGAACUUUCAAACUUUAUUAUGUAUAUUAGUCAAUAUAUAUGAUGCUGUUGGCUGUGAUGUAGAGUUUAGAAUACAUCAUUUUUCUCUCUCUGAAAACAGUUAUCUAGCCAUGCUGCCCAGAAAUGCUAUGUCUUUGAAGCUGUUAAUGGCGUUUAUGUAUGUAAGCGCAAUCGUUAAUCAUGUAGAAGGCUCGUACUCAGGUACAAACACUGGUACUUACCAUGACCAAAUGAGGCGCAUGGCUUUGAUGAAGGCAUCACAUACCAUCCGCAAUAAGGACUCAACGCCCCAAAGCUAUUCAACACCAACUCUAUAUGUAUGUUUACAUAUAUAUUUUGUUCUUUUAUUUUUGGUUUUAAUUAGUUUUAGUUUUUUUCCAAAUGAUCGAUGUAUGAUUUGUUCAUAUAUAUUGAUUCAGGCGUCCGCAGAAUCACGUGUACAUCACGUGACUGAGUAUGGUGCUGACCCAACCGGAAGAUCAGACAGCACAGAGGCACUACAGCAAGCUAUUUUACAUGCCUUUGGAUCUCCUCUUGAUGGUCACUUGAUCAAGGGUGUUGCUGACCUUGGAGGCACUCAAGUUCACCUUGAUGGAGGGACAUACAAGAUCAGCCGUCCGCUGCUCUUACCAGAUACCGGUGGUGGAAACUUUAUGGUACACCUCCUAACAUUUUUCUUCAACUAGAAUAACCUGAUGGUCGGAAUGCAUUAUGCUUAGAUGGGUUAGAGCCGUUGGUCAAGGCACACUAUUCGUUACCUUGCAACCAAAUUUGAAUAUCAUUCUGUCAUAUUUGAGUUUCGACUCCGUCAAAGCACGAUAUUGUCCGAUUUGGGCUUACAAUUCCCUCACAGUUUUGUUUAUGGGAACUCAUACGAGAACUUCUCAGCGGAUCACCCAUCCUAGGAAUGCUCUCGUCCGAACUCGUUUAACUUCGGAGUUCCGAUGGAAUCCGAAGCCAGUAAGGUUCCAAAAUGUCUCGUGCUAUAUGGAGGUGAGCAUGUACAUAUAAGGCAUAGAUGAUCCACUCUCCUGGGUGAUGUUAGAUCUAACAAUCUACCCCCCUUAGGGGCCCGACGUCCUCAUCGGCACACUUCUGACUAUAGAUUAGCUCUUAUACCAAAUUGUCACAUCCCAACCCGGGCUCCAUCACAUCCUAGGCUUGACUCCGCCGUAGCAUGAUAUUGUCCCAUUUGGGCUUACCAUUCCCUCACAGUUUUGUUUCUGGGAACUCAUACGAGAACUUCUCAGUGGGUCACCCAUCCUAGGAAUGCUCUCGCUCAAACUCGCUUAACUUCGGAGUUCCGAUGGAAUCUGGAGCCAGUGAGUUCCCAAAAUACCUCGUGCUAUAUAGAGGUGAGCAUGCACAUAUAAGGUAUAGAUGAUCCACUCCUCUGUGCGAUGUGGGAUCUAACACAUUCUCUGUAGAUUUAGUAGUUAUAGAAUAUCUUAUUACAAUUAUUCUAAAGUUUAGUAGUACAAUCACAAAGAAUAAUAAGAAUAGAGUAUAGAGAGAUUGUAUUCACACCCCAAAUUACUUCUCCCACACCCUUUUAAUUUUUUAAUAUUUUUUACACACCACUAACACUUGAUAGAAAAAUAUUAAAAAAUUAAAAGGGUGUGGAAUAAGUAAUUAAUUUGGGAUGUGUGAAUAUAAUCUCCGUAGAGUAUAUACUUGAAAUUCAAUGUGAUUCUUUAUAAGAUGAUCUGUCUUAAGACUUUUUAUAUUAGCAUCUCACAAAAUAUUGAAUGCACCUCACAAUGAAAUUUAAUAUUAAAUAACUUAUUUAUCCUUUUAUGCAAUAACAAUUUUAACCUUAUUAGAUUAAAAAAAAAAUCUAUAUACAUUACAAAUCACUUUUAACGUAUUAUUUAUCUUUUUCAAUUAUCAAAACACAUCUGACCCUCCAUUACUAAACAAAACCCUAACCAAUGAAAUUACAAACAUGUUGAUUGAGAAAAAUUGUUUUUGACAAAUAAAACACGAAAUCGAUGUUUAGGAAGCUUCACAUGAGAUAAAACUUCAUAAUAUAGAAUAAACCUCUCUUAAUAAUAUAGAACAUUUUAUAUUUCAUUUGUAAGUUUUUUUUUUCAUAGGCUCAGGGUUUGUUACGGUGUAACAGAUUCAUGGUGGAUCUCUUCAUGCAUCCGAUGAUUUCCCAACCGAUCGCCAUCUGAUCGAGCUACGGUCACCGACGACUUCUCUUGUGUACGAAGACAUCACACUCAAGGAUCUCAUGAUAAACUCAAAUUUCAGAGGUGGUGGAAUUUCGAUUAUAAAUUCACUAAGGACUACCAUUGACAAUUGUUACAUUUCACAUUUCACAAGUGAUGGUAUAUUAAUUCACGGUGGCCAUGAAACCUAUGUUAGAAACUCAUUUAUUGGUCAGCACAUCAAUAUCGGAGGCGAUCACCGUGAAAAGGAUUUUUCCGGCAUCGGAAUUAACAUCAUAGGAAAUGAUAACGCAAUCACCGAUGUGGUUAUUUUCUCAGCAUCAAUUGGUAUAAUGGUACAAGGGCAAGCCAACGUGUUCACCGGAGUACAUUGUUACAACAAGGCCACUGGAUGGGGUGGGACUGGAAUUUACAUUCGGGCACCAGGGUUGACCCAAACCCGAAUCCUUAAUUCCUAUUUUGAUUUCACGGGUAUCGUGGCUGAGGACCCGGUCGAACUCCAUAUAUCCGGGUCGUUCUUCCUUGGCAAUGCCUUUAUUUCAAUCAAAUCAUUGAAGGGUGUAGCAUGUGGCAUCACCAUCGUUGAUAAUAUGUUUUCAGGUGAUUAUACCGGUGUCCCAAUAGUCCAUCUAGAUCAAUCCAACGGUCGAUAUUUUACUACUAUUGAUCAAAUUAUGGUUGAUCGAAAUGUGGUGCGGGGUAUGGUUCACAAAUCAACGGUUGCCAAGGGGUCAGUUUGGAGUAAUGGGACUAGAUGGACCGUUGAUUUCUCACACGUUCUCCUUUUCCCCAAUCUCAUACAAAAUGUGCAGUACACAUUGCAGGCAAGUGAGUCAUUUCCAAAACAUGUCCUACGAAAUGUGUCGAGGAAUUGUGUCAUAGUAGAAUCAGACGUACCCGUUUCUGCCACGUUGCAUGUGUUAGUGGAUCAGAGCAUGAUGGGUUACGUAUAAUUUUAAGUGUGAAUACAAUACAUGUACAUCAAAACACAUACAUGAUACAAUGAAGUUAGUUUCUUUUGUUUUUUUUUUUCCUUUUGAAAAUAUCUGUUCGUUGGAAAAUUAGUUGGUAAAAGGUUGAUAAAUCGUGGACUGGUUUUGCCAGAAGUCUAAUUGGACUUGGACUCUAACAAUUAAGUAGAGCUUCAAAUAUCUUCGUUAAUUUCAAAUUUGUAACGUAUUUCAAAGUUGUUAGUCCCAAAAGGGAAGGUACUAGUGCUGCGUGUUCAGCAAACUCGAUUGAACUUCUAGCACUUUUGACUGAUGUUGUUCAAAGACGUAUUAAGUUUUGCACUACUAAACUUGCUUGACCACAAUUACCCAUUUAUUUAGCAUAUAGGGUUCAAGGGAGGUUUUGGGACUCAUGAUUACCCAUUACCCAUAUAAUCAAGAAAUCCCACCUUUGAUUUGCUCCUAUAUAAAUCAUGAAGAAAAUCAUAUAAAGGAUCCAUCCCUUAAAUGUGGAUACCAGCCUCUUGCUACAUAUUCACAUGUGUGAAUAUGCUUUUUAGUUAAAAAUGAUAAAUAAAUAAAAAAUGACAUAGGUUUUGUUUUCCAAAUACUGAAACGGUUUUAAGAUGCGUUUGGUGUAAUUUUGUGCGAAUAUAAACUCAAAAAAUGAAAAAAAACGUUGCAAACAAUAUUUUACAUAAAUUUUGUAUCAAAUUGAUGCUCCAGUAUUUUUCAAGAAUAAAAUUUAAAAUAAUAUCAUACAUACUACCACAAUCACUACUUUCUCCACCGCUAUCACUCGUGCCACCAUGACCACAACCACUUCCAUUGUCUCACCAUCACCACCACAAUUGCCACUAUCACCAUCUUUAACACCAUCUCCUCCCACUACCAUCAUAGCAGCCACCACAUCAUUCAUUAGGGGUGGGCACGGUUCGGUUUGGUGCGGUUUUGAGUGAAACCGCAACUGAAACCGAAACUUUUGGCGGUGCGGUUUUGAAGCCAAAAUCGAAAUGAAACCAAACCGUUUUUAGUUUGGCUUUUGAGAAAAAAAUGUACAAUUUAAAAUUUACACCUAUCCACGCAUAAGAUGGUCUCAUUUUCCAAACAAUACAUGUUUACACAUAUCUAAUGCAAGUGUUAAUUUAUGCUGAAAAUUAAUAAAAUAGGAUCGUCUGCAUGUUUUCACUUGGCCACGAAUGAGAUUUGUAUUUAGCAGCAGACGCUGAUUAGCUCUUCCUCUUCGAAAGGUUGCAUUGAUAAGUGAUAAUUAUCAAAUAGAAUAGAGGUGGAAAUGAAUGACAUUCUAGUGUGGUUGAGUCCAAUACUAAAUGUAUGGACUCUAACAAACAACCAUAUAAAAGAUGACAUUUAAUUUGAGGUACAGUUUCGGUUUCGGUUUCGGUUUCAGUGCGAUUUUCAAAAGCCAAAACUGAAACCAAACUGUUUCCUACUAUGCGGUUCGGUUUCAAAACCGCAAAAUCUAACUGUUCAGUGCGGUUCAAUUUGAUUAUGUGUUUCGGUUUCGAUUUCGGUUUCAAGUGCCCACCCCUAUCCUUCACUGCCAUCACCUCUGUUACAAUGGCCACCGCCACCACCACCACUGAUGUCUCCAUUGUCUCACCAUUGAUGCUGCCACCAUCACCUCCUCACCAUCAACACCACCAUCAACAUCACCAUCUCCACCGCCUCAUCGUUGCCGCCGCCACCUCACCACCACCAUCGCCACUAUUACCACCGCCACCUCCCAUCAUCCUCACCAUGCAUGGUCGCUAAUAUCUCCACCAUCUCUGCCACCACCAUCCCAGCCACCUUUAAGCCACCAUUUCCAAAAUCAUCCUUCACAAUACAACCACCAUUUACCACCAUUAUCAUCGUCGCUGCCAUCACCGCCACCACACUGCCCCUCUACCCUGUUAUUAUUAGCAAUUAAUGUUAGGAUGAUAUUUUAUUUAUAUCUUGAAGAUAGUAGAAUUUGUUUAGGAACGUGGAAUAUAGGAACCUUAACGGGAAAAUCUGUGGAAGUAGUUGAAGUUAUGGUGAGGAGAAGGAUAAGUAUUAUGUGCCUACAAGAAACUAAGUGGGUUGGUCUUAAGGUAAAUGAUCUAGAAAACUCAAGUUUUAAACUUUGGUAUUCGGGCACAAAUAGAACUAGAAACUAUGUUGGCAUCAUCAUGUACAAGACCUUGACACAAGAUGUUGUAGAUGUUAAGAAGGUAAGAGAUAGAUUUAUGGCAAUCAAGAUUGUAAUAGGACAAAAACUCAUCAAUGUGAUUAGUGCGUAAGCAGCUCAAGUAGGGUUGGAUACGAGUUUGAAGGAGAAAUUUUGGGAAGAUCUUGGAGACUUGGUGCAAGGAAUUGCUCAGACGGAGAAGGUAUUUAUAGGAGAAGAUUUAAAUAGACACAUGGUCAAUGAGACAGGCAACUAUGAAGGUUUUCAUGGUGGCCAUGGUUUUGGGGAGAGAAACGAGAACGGGGAAGCCAUCUUGGAUUUUGCAAUGGCAUAUGAUCUCUUCUUAGCCAACAUCUUCUUUAAGAAGAGAGAAGAACAUGUGAUCACCUACAAGAGUAGGUCGUCAAAAACACAAAUUGAUUUUCUUCUAAUGAAGAAGGGGGAUCGUAUAACUUGUAAGGAUUGCAAAGCUAUACUGGGAGAGAGCUUGGCUAAUCAACAUCGCUUGUUGGUGAUGAAUGUACAUAUCAAAAGAGAGAGAAAAAGGAACAAAACCUUGAAGUGCCCAAAGACUAGAUGGUGGAAUCUAAAAGGACAAAAACAAGCAAUUUUCAAAGAGAAAGUAAUCACCUAAUGUGUGGGGGAUAGAGAGGGUGAAGCUAGCCAAAUGUGGGAUUCCAUGGCUACUUGUAUCUGAAAAGUAGCAAAAGAGGUAUUAGGAGAGUCCAAGGGCUUUGCUCCACGCCAAAAGGAAUCUUGAUGGUGGAAUGAGGAGGUACAAACAAAGGUUAAGGCUAAGAAGGAAUGUUGUAAAGCCUUAUACAAGGAUAGGACCGAUGAAAAUGGUGAAAGGUAUAGAAUAGAGAAGCAGGAGGCGAAAAAAGUUGUGAGAGAAGCUAAGCUAGUGGCUUAUGACGAUAUGUAUAAGCGACUAGAUACCAAAGAAGGAGAGUUGGAUAUCUAUGAACUAACUAGAGCAAGGGAAAAGAAGACAAGGGACCUAAACCAAGUGAGGUGCAUCAAGGAUGAAAAUGGAAAGGUUCUUGCUAUAGAGAACGCGGUCAAAGACAGAUAGAGAGGUUAUUUUCACAAUCUUUUCAAUAAAGGACAUGAAAUAAGUACUUUUUUUUUAGAGUUGAGUAACUCAGAAGAUUGUAGAAACUACUCCUUUUACCGCCGAAUUCAGAUGGAAUAAGUGGUUGUAGCUUUGAAAAAGAUAAGGCAUAGAAAAACAGUGGGCCUAGAUGAUAUACCGAUCGAAGUGUGGAAAGUUUUGGGAGAGACGGGUAUAGCACGGCUCACAAAGCUUUUCAAUAGGAUUUUGAAAAUGAAGAAGAUGCCAAAUGAGUGGUGAAAGAGCACUUUGGUGUCUAUCUACAAGAAUAAGGGCGGCGUACAAAAUUGCAUGAACUAUAGUGGUACUAAGCUAAUGAGUCAUACAAUGAAGCUCUAGGAGAGACUUAUUGAGCAUAGACUGAGGUAAGAGACACAGGUCUCGAACAACCAAUUCGGGUUCAUGACAGGACACUCAACCAUGGAGGCAAUCUAUCUCUUACGAAGAUUGAUGGAAAGAUAUAGAGAUAUGAAAAAGGAUUUACACAUGGUCUUUAUAGAUUUGGAAAAAGGGUAUGAUAGGGUCACAAGAGACAUUCUUUGGAGGAUUUUAGAGAAAAAAAUAGUACGAGUAGCAUAUAUCCAAGCUAUAAAAGAUAUGUAUGAUGGAGUAAAGACUGCCGUAAGAACUUAUGAAGGACAAAUCGAAAGCUUCCCCAUAACUGUAAGGUUACAUCAAAGGCUCAUCUUUAAGUCUUUACCGUUUUGCAUUGGUAAUGAAUGAGUUAACAUGACAUAUUCAAGAUGAUAUUCAUUGGUGUUUGCUUCUCGCAGACGAUAUAGUGUUGAUAGAUGAAACUCAGGAAGGGGUAAAUGUGAAGCUUAACUUUUAGAGAGAAGUGUUGGACUCUAAAGGUCUUCACCUAAGUCGAUCAAAGACAGAAUAUAUGAAGUGCAAGUUUAGUGCAAAUGAAGGCUCAAAUGAGUUAGGGGUGAUGAUCGGAGACCAUGAAGUACCAAAGAGCGACCACUUUCACUACCUAGGAUCUAUCUUGCAAAAGAACGGAUAAUUAGAUGGAGACCUCAACCAUAGAAUACAAGCUAGAUGGAUAAAGUGGAAGAGUGCCGCCAAUGUGUUGUGUGAUCGUUGUAUGCCACUGAAGCUUAAUGGAAAUUUUUAUAAGACAGCAAUAAGGCCGGCAAUGUUAUAUGGCACAGAAUGUUGGGCGGUGAAGUAUCAACACAUACAUAAAAUGGGUGUAGUAGAGAUGAGGAUGCUUCGUUGGAUGUGUAGGCACACGAGGAAGGAUAAGAUUAUGAAUGAAGAUAUCCGAGGUAAAGUAGGAGUAACCGAAAUUGAAGGAAAUAUGAGAGAAAAUCGGUGACAGUGUUUUGGACAUGUGUAAUGAAGGCCUACUGACACUCCAGCUAGAAGAUGCAACUACGGAACAAAGGUCCAGGGCCGAAGGGGUAGAGAAAGAUCUAGGAAGACUUUGGAAGAGACUCUAAGAAAAGACUUAGAGUACUUGGAUCUAACGGAAGACAUGACAUACAACCGAGUGCAAUGGCGUUCUAGGAUUCAUAUAGCCGACCUCACUUAGUGGGAAAAUGCUUUGUUGUUGUUGUUGUUGUUGUUGAACCUCUUUUAUCUAUUAUAUAGUCAUGGUUUUGUAUUAAAUUGUUGGAUUUAAUGUGUUUUGUGCAAGUUUGAUAGCAAAUAUGAUUUGGGAACAAAAAAUGAACUUAACAAUUAAAAUACGAGGAAACCUGAAGAGUUGAAGAGAUGGGCUGCUGGGCAUCUUAUAUUUGUGCCAAUAUUAGAAAAUGGACCGGUGCACUACCUAAUAAAUUGGUCCAUUGAAGCUAGCCCAAUUAAUGGGCAUUGCCUAAUCCAAUUGAUGUGGUGAUACUUAAAAAGGUGAACAGUACCGAGAUUUUUUCGUUAAAAUUCCCUUUAAAUUAUCCUAUUUCCGUGUGGAUUAAGGAAGUAAUAGAAAUAUAAAUAGGAGAAUGAGACACCAGUUGAAGACCCACCCACCUACACGCACACAUACAGAGGGGGAGAGAGAAGCCGAAAGCAAAGAGGAAUAUCACAAACACUGAAACAAGUGACAGGAAGUGGUUUGAGUUUUCAAGAGGGAUAUCACAUUGCACUACGCGGCAUUCAGGAACACUUACCCAAUUUGGGCUCUUGCAGAAUACCUCAACAUGUUACAAAAAUGGAACUGGAAGUUAACGAAUGGCUAAGCACACCGUUAAAUAGAAGGUUAUGCGCUGUUAUGUUCUUUGGUUUACAUACCAGAUACUGAAUUAGCUAUUGCAUAAUAAAGAACGCUUAUUGUAUCUGACAUGGACUUUCUUCCUUGGCAUUCAAUUACAGAAGUAGAAUAAACACUUCAGGUUUUGUAAGACAUAGUACAAAGCCAGCAUCAAAUAAAGAUUCAUAUGGUGUGAACUGCGAUUUGGUUAAAUAUUUAAUCACUGCCCAUUUGUUACGGCGUUUCAAUGGGAGCGAUGCAAGUUAGAGAGCAGAAAGUACUAAAAUGUAGCAAAUUUGCAGGGAAGACUCGUACAAAUUUAUUUUGAUGAGAUGUGACAUCUCGCAAUGCAUGAUACAUGUUGUCUAUACGUAACAUAAAUAUGUAUAUAUUUUCACAGAUUAUUCGUUCUUUAGCGGUUACAAAUCACAAAAGAAUACAUUUGCAUAGAUUAUUCGUUCUUCAGCAGUUACAAGUUCAUCAACUCUACAGACACAAAAGAAGAAAGGAACAAAAUAUGGCACAACUAGAACUAGGUUUUAUAUGUUCUGGUUGUAUUGGCAAGUCCCAUGGAUUUCCUUUUGCUUGUGAUCCAAGGCUCAAGCGAUCUUUUUGAUAGGCAACGAAACCAGUGUGCGGUAUUCACCGAGAGCCCACAAUGGGAAGAUAUUUCUGUAUGCUGCAUAGUGCAACAUAGCAUUCCUCAUAAAAACUCCCAUCAGUUCCUGUUGGGGGAAAUCGCCGUCAUCCAAUUGACCGUUCAUUAACACCGCAGCAGCCCGGUGAAUAGGAGUUGGAUCUCUCUCAGCCUAUAGCAAAGAAAAAAAAUCAUUUAGAAAUUUAUUUUUUGGAGGGAAUUGUGAAAAACUAAAACAGAACACCUCUAAAAUGUUUGUCAUGUACUGACCUGUCGACCGUGAAUCAGACCCAUUAAUCCGAGUGCAGUUUGGACUAAAUUUGUACUGUCUUGAGCUGUAUAUUUCUGAAGAGAUAGAACAAGUGAAAUAUUAGAAUUAUGCUUUCCUUGAGGUCAACAGGGUUACCUUUUCGUUACUAUUGAAUUUCAUUGGUACCUUGUUUGUGCAUGAGGUGUAGUGCUCUCCCCAGCCACCAUCUGCCCUUUGUGUUUUGAGCAAAAAGUCGACACCUUUGCGCACUGCCUCACAGUUGUUGUAUGUCCUGCCGGCAGCCUCCAGCCCUUUGAUUGCGAACCAUGUACCAUACACGAAGCAGAUUCCCCAGUUUCCAUACCAUGAGCCAUCAGGGUACUGUAUGUCUUCAAUGUAGUCUGCAGCCCUUGUGAUGAAAUUGUUGAUCUCCUUCCUUCUAUGGCCAGGGUACAACUUCCUAAACAAUGUUAAGGCCUGGAUCGAAGAUGAAGUGCACUCGAUGUACUCGUACUCAAUGACAAGGUCCUCAAGAAACUCCACAGGGUUGAGCCACUGAAGAGGGAAAACAAAUUAGUAUAUCCAAUUUAUGAGACAUAGUGAAAUGACGAAAGCUUUCAAAUUUCUUCGGAAAAAAAUUAUUAAGAUUUUCGGUUUUUGUUACCUCCAACCAUUUUGGUGCUCCUGUUGGCUCCCAGGCUGAUACACCACCAUUUGGACUUUGAAGAGACAUGAUGACAUUGACAGCAUCAUACAUACACUCAGCUUCCAUUGGCUCACCAACAACUUCUGGGGACAUAUUUGCAAAAAUGCAGCAACACUGAAGCAAAACAUGUUACAAGUUAGCACCAUUUUCAAUUUUUCAUCAUAAAUGAGAGGCAAAAUCUUCAACUUAAGUUAAGCACUUGAGUAAAAUCACUUACCCUCAGUGCUUCUGCAGUGCAAUCUGACACUUGCCAUCCAUGAUCACGGUCAGAGAAUGUCCAUGCGCCCUUUGAAAUGUGACGGAAAUGAGAUAGGUAGUCACCGGAUGUAUUAAUCCUCACCUACAAUGGUACGCAUAGGAUGUGUAUUUUUAAGUCAACAGAAAAUCUCAACACAUUUUCGUAUGUCAAAUACAGUUUUAAUGACUUGAAUAUGUACCUGAGAUAUCUUGAGGAAUUCGUGUGCUUUCUUAAGGGUGGGUCCCAUUUCAGCAUUAAGAUUCCCAGCAAGCAAAGCUUGAAUCACAAGAGCACAAUCCCAUGACUGGCUUCCAAAACUUUGCAUCUUGAUUCCAUCCUCUCCGAGCCAGAUAUAAUCGGUAACUCUAGGAAGAUGCUUCUUGAAAGCUUCUCCACUAGGAUCCUCGGCCCAGCAAGCAAGCAUCAUCAAUGGCUUUUCCACGCAUCCGAUUGUAAUGUAACGACUGUUCUCAUCUUCAUAAUGAAUUUGGUCAAUUGUGAAUUGAAUUGCAUUGUCUCUGAUCUUCUUGAAAGGCCAGCGUUUUAGGAGAGGCUCGACGAUAUUGUAAAAACCGUCCCACAUAAAACGUUGUACACGACCAUGGGGAUAGUAGUUAUCUUCCUGCAUUAGUCAACAUUGCAUAGCACAGUAAGGUUAUGUAUGUGAAAAUUUUUCUUUAACAUAAUAAAAUUGAACAACGGCAUGAACUAUAUAAGGAACAAAAAAAGGUAAACUCACUGUUGCACACCAAUGGCGCACUUUAGGCCAGUUAAUUUCGUUGUAAGAUUCACAGUAAAUUUCUUGUCUCAAUUCCUCAACAAGUGGAGUGAUUGGGCCAACAAAUCUUGUGGCAUAAAAGUAAGACAUAGGUAGGUAAGUCAACCUACAGUAGCAGAACAUUUUUGCUGCAGAGAUGAAGUUGUACUAAUUAGAAGACUUGUACUAUUUAACUUAACAAGAAAAUAGGAUGUGGAAGAAAAUUGUGCUUACAUGGAUGAAAAGGAAGCAGAGUCGACCCAGUCCAGAAUUCUGGGGGCAUUGGGUUGCUGCCUUCCCAGUCAUACACACCAAGAAUCUGCAACACAAAUUAAGUUAGACCAUUUCCUCAAAUGUGCAUCCUUUUACAGUAUAAAAUACCACUUUUAUUUAAAACAAACUAGUAAGUUAUACGCACCGCCAUCCAAGUUUUGCCCCAUGAUGCAGAAUAGUACGCACCACCACGGUCAAGAAUCCACUUUCGUGCCCUUGCGCAGGCAUUGUCACGACCACCAUCGGGGCCAUCUCCGAGAAUACGCAUCAUACAGUAGUUUAGGCAUGUAGUAAACAUCAUACUAGGCCCCGCUAUGUGCAGUCCCCAGCCACCAUCUUCAUUUUGAUGGUUGUAUGUGUAACGCAAGAUUUCCUUCUUGUGCUCAGCGGAGAAAAUAACAUUGAGAUAUCCUGGAAUGUAUGCAGCCAUGACCUAUAAUUUUUUGGCAAUAAAGAUGCAACAAUUAGUCCGCUGUCACAUACAAGGGCACUAAAAACCCAAUUUUUUUACUAUUACAGCAUCUCAAUUUUUUUACUAUAUGGUAAAUAAGGAGCAAAAUUUCGCACCAAGGGAGGGAAGUAAAAGUUUGGGCCAGCAUUUUCAGCAGGCCAAUGUCCAUGGGGUGAUUGCAAGGCAUUCCAGAAGGUAGCAGCCCUCCUGAAUGCAGCUGUGGCCUGAUCAUAUGUAAUGUCCUCACCCUCCCCAACUCUUACUGGAGGAAUUUCUUGUUUAAAGUUUUUCUCUCUUAGUAUCUGCAAUUGGUCAAAGUAAAAUAUUAUAUCGUACUGAAUAAAUAAAUAAAAAAAAAGAAAAAAAAAAAGAGGAUUUGGAAGAACUAAAUAAAUAAACAGAAUAUAAACACUGUUGUACAAACUAACAAGGCAUGCAUCUCACACGGAGUUCACUUUUCUUUGGCCGCCUACCACUCAGUCUCGCACGUAAAGAGUGUACAAGUUCACAAAAGUUGACCAAUGUGUUUUUGGUGGAGUAACUUUGAAAAUGAAAAACCUUGUUUUAUGUACCGCAAAUAUGUCACGUGCUUCAACUGUUACAUAAUAAUUAAUGCUAUUUAACGAAGUAAAAAACGAUUAGAUUAUAAAUCAGCUCUUAAAUAGUGGUGAAUCUUAUUUUAUGUAUUAGAAACGUGAUUAACAAUGUGAUUAGUUUUAUGUGUUACUCAUUACAUACAAAAUAGAACUAAAUCGCAAUAUUAACAUGAAAUAAUAUACGCCAGAAGGGUUGGGGUUGGAUUUAUAAUACAUUUUAUGACUUUGGCAAUUCCAGGUUAUCUUUUUCGUAUUUGGUCCAACUCACCAUGUUAGUUUUAGGUGAACAUAAUCUGUCCUCGUUAUCUGGAAGAGCAUAAUCUUCUCGAGAUGCAUUCUAAUUAUUAUUUUUAUAGCAUAAUUAAAGCCGACUCCAACCCUAUAUCAUGAAAUAUGCUAAUAAACUAUAUUCAAUGUAAAUACUUUUAUCUAUAUUCAAACGAAUAACUAUAUCAUGAAAUAUAUUAAGCAAUUAAAGCCCACUCAGAAGUUUAUAGUUUAUAUAUAUAUACAACGGUGGGGAGCGUGUCCCCAUUUUUUUGAAAAAAUGGUGAUCCCUCCCCUUAAGCAAUUCCAUAUAUAUAUAGGAAUUGCUUAAGGGGAGGGAUCACCAUUUUUUCAAAAAAAUGGGGACACGCUCCCCACCGUUGGAUUUGAAUUAAAUGAAAUCCUGUGGUUGAGAUUCUAUGGCCUGUGUUUUAAUCUCAACCACACAAUUUCAUUAAAGUCAAUCUAACGGUGGGGAGCGUGUCCCCAUUUUUUUUGAAAAAAUAAGGAUCCCUCCCCUUAAGCUCCCUGUGUGUAUAUAUAUAUAUAUAUAUAUAUAUAUUAAUAAACAAAUAUUUGCAUUAAAGAGCACAAGACUUUGAACUUAAACCUGUCAAUUAGAUAAAAAGAGAGAUAACACUAGUAUUACCUGAAAACGCCAUAGGAGGUCGCUGCUAGGCUGGACCUUGAAGCGAUUUUGGUAGAAAUGCUCACGAGCAGCUUCAACUUCUGCUCGCUCCUCCUCGGUACCUGCAUCUGGGUCGAACUCCCAUGUCUGCCUUCCAUGGAAGUUGUUUGUGCUGAACAACAUAGGGUCAUUUGCACCCUCUCCAAACUUGAUCUUCCACAUCUUGAUCACUGGAUUAGUAGUACAAAAAUAAUCUUUUUUCUAGUACCUGCAUGAAUGAUACAAAUACAUAACGAAAUUAAUUAGUAAGGGCUUGAUAGAUACACGUUCUAGUUCUAUGUAACUGUAAGAAAAUAGGGUUUGAAUUACUGUUCUAUUUUCAUAUUUUUGUAGAAAAAGGGGGAAAAGUAUGAUAAAAGAGGUUUAAAAGAAUGAUUGAUUUCUAUAACUCAUUGAAAUCUCUUAUGCAUAUCUCAAUCUCAACCAUCCACCUGAACUCUGGCUACCCAAAUCUCUAUGUAAUGACCAAGAAUCUUGUGUGUGUGUGUGUGUGUGAGAGAGACAGAGAGAGAUGAUGAUGAUGGUGAUGAUGAUGACCUAAUUGUAAACUUUAUGAUAUAAUUUUUUUACAUAUGCUAACUGCAGGGAGAUGGAUAGUACUGAAGAAGCUCUGGCCCUUGAGCUUGAGGACUCACCGAUUGCAAAAACUGGCUGUGAUGGUGAGGAAGGAAAGAGUUUGCUUUGAGUUGCUUGGCACAGAUGCUGAGUCUCUGUGUGAUGAUUGAUGCAUGGGAAACCCACUUUAUAUACUUACAUACCCUAGGGGCCUACAGUAAAAUGUGGCCACCAUGCCUCCUUUUUUUCUAUAUUUUAAUCAUCGCUCUUGGUCAACUUUGGUGUUUUCUGACUUUCUCAGGCUCUUUGUUAUUUACUAAUAAUAUUUUUUCACAAUUUUAAUUAUACACCGAUUUAUAUUUGUACUAUCAAACAAACCGACACGUUAUUUCAACUACCUUCACAAGUUUUCAGUUACAUUCUUAUGAAAAAGAGAACUUUAACGAAAAGUUUUCGGUGUCGUUUAUUUUAACAAAGAAUCAUAUUUUUAUAUUAAAAAAUUAAUUCCGGUAUUAUUCAUUUUACUCCUUAUUUUGUCCUUAUCGUUAAAACUCAAAGUUUUCAAAUCAUUUUCAUUAAUUUGCCUUAUGAUAAAUGGUCUGAUAGUUUGCUUUGUAUAGUUUUAAAAACACCAGAGUUUAUAACGUUUUUCAGUUUUUUUUAAUAAAUUAUUUUAUUUCAAUAUUGCUUAAUUAUCCUCAAUUUUUUUUUUAGGUUUAGGAGAAAAACACAACUUGCGUUAAUGAGUGCACGUUUUAAAAGAAAUGAUAUCAUUUCAUAUAAUAUUAGAGGUGUAAGAAAUAAAAGAUUCCUGAAAUCAUCAUAUCUGAUGAUGCUAUAUUGUGGAUGUAUGUUGAAUUUUGAUAACCGAAAGGAAGAAACAAAGAGAGGGAUCAGUCUAUUUAGACUACGAAAAAAAAAUGUCAUUGUCCUUGUCUUCUUAAAAAAAAAAAAAAGUUUCUCACUCUUAAUUUAGAAAUGUUUUUUCUAUGCAUUUAAUAAUCAAUUACCUAAGCUACAGUCAAUUUUAGUAGUAAAUUAUGGUGAGGGUUGUUAAUUUAUGUCAUGCAACAUCAGAUUUGACUUUUCAGUUAAGAAACAUUGUUACUAUCUUUUUUCCUAUUAAUGUUGAUUUGGACAUUUUAACAAGCUCUUAAUAGAUGGAUAGAUAUUUCAGAAGAUGAAUGCUAGUGAUCUUUUCAAUUUACCUUCUUCUUUGUUCCUUUUCCAUUCAACAUUUAACAUGUAUACUUCACUAUAAAAUUAAAUUAAAAUUUUUAUUGUCAUGAAAAUACAAAUUAUUUGUUCCCCUUAUUCCCUUAACAAAUAAACCAAAUUAGAAUAAAGAUAAAACUAUAAAGCUCUGGCCCCACCCAUUACUCUGCCAUCUUUGUCUCCUUCCUAUCAUUUCACAUCUAGUGGCAGAGUCAAUUUCAGAGUGCCUCUCACAUACGCAGGUAAUUUGAACUCAGAAUAUGAGAAAUUUGAGUAAUUUGCAUAAAAAUUGAAAUAUCCUAAAUUGAACAAAGAGAAAUAAAAACAUUGCACAAACCUAAAAACCUGAAUAUGAGUUUAAGAGUAAGCAAGAAUUUUUUAAAAAUAAAGUUAAGCCAAAGAAAAGUUGAUAGAACAAGGAGGGGGAAGUGAAAACUGCACUGCAAUUAAGAGGGGGAAAAAUAGGUCUAACCUGAAAUGGAAAAGAGUUUCGAUUGAGAACAAAAUUGAAUUUUGAGGGUAUUAGACUAAUAUGCAAUAUGAGUAGCUAGAAGAAGAAGAAAAAAGGCCGAAUGGGCCAAGGACCUUAGGGAUAUGAUUGGAUUGGCAUGCACUUGUAAGAUGGGACUUAUAACCCACGUAUGAUAACCCAUUCUAGUGCAGAUUCGUAACCCAUCUUGUCCAUAUCACAUUUUGAGACAACAUUGAAUGGACUGGACUCAAGUCCAAUCCUAUCCCGCUAGUGUUCACAUUUAUCAAGCAGGGGUCACCCAUGGCAGGAGUAGGAUUCUCUCCCUCCUAAUCUCUCUCCCCUUCCAUCCCUUCCUAUUUAAACGGUUGCGAUUACACCACGUUUACAUCUUGUUUUGAAUUUUUUAUAUAGAGAAUAAGACAAAAAGAAAAGUGUGAGAGGAGGAGAUGGAAUGGGAUGAUAAUAGGAGGGGAAAGAAUACUACUCCUCUAUGCCAGGCUCAGUCCUUGAACUACAACGACAAUUAAGAAAAAAAUAAAACAAACAUUUGAUUCUACAAGAUCAUACCCAUAUCGAGCUCUUGAAAUUCUUAUACGAAUAUCCGCUGAUCCAAUAUAACGUGACGUAAUUCUUCUUUUGAUUUCCUCGUCUUUUUUGGUGCUUUUUUCUCUUAGUAACAAGGAAGGUCGGUGAAAGAUCGUUGAUAAUAGAAAUCAAGAACCUACAUUGGGAGUUGAUUUUUUUUAGGAAGCGGGGGGCUGUCUUUUUGGUGCUUUUUACUAAGAUCGUCGUCAAUGAUGAAAAUCAAGAACUUAGGGGGGUGUAGUCAAACUAAGAUUUUAAAGGAUUUUAAAAGUGAUAGAUUUGAUAGGAUUUAGGAGGAUUUAAAACUCCUACAAAAUUCAUAUGGAUUUUAAAGAAUUUGAAUGGAUUUAGUUUGUAGAUUUUGGUGGAUUUUCAUAUAAUUUUUUUUAUUGAAAAAAAAAAAAUCUUUCCCCUUGCUCUAUUGUACUCGAUAGCCACUUUAUCCCCUCCCUUUUCGGGUCCCCUUUCACACGAUCAUGGCUCCAUCUCUUUCUCAAUUGAUAGAUCAACAUAACUUUGGUGAGCUUUUGAGUACUACACACCACCAACAACCAUCACCACCGACUGCCUUUUUGCCACAGACGUACGCUGUGGUCAGUGGCGGAUCCAGGAAAUAAUGUUUGUGGGGUCAUAGCGCGCGUAACGCGAAAUUUUUUUUUAGCCUCGUUGGUACUUCGGACUGUACUGAUUAUUUCAGUCGGAUAGGAUAAAUAGUCGUCGGAUAGUACUAACUACAUUAGUCGGGCGUUUGGUGCAGUGUCGAAUUAAUCUGUGCAUGGAACAAUACUAAAUUUUUUUAAUAAUUUUUAACAAAAUAAUUGGUGUUAAAAUGAAAAAACUCACAAUAUAAACAAAUCAUCAAUAUAAUCAAAAUAAAUAUGAAUUGAAUUUCAAUUAAAUUAAAUAUAUUCUACAUAUACAAAAUAUUCAAAAUAAAUACUCACAAUAUAAACAAACCAUCAACAUAAUCAAAAUAAAUAUGAAUUGGAUUUCAAUUAAAUUAAAUAUCUCAUCUUGCAUUCUACAUAUAAAAAAUAAUGAAAAUAAAAACUCAAUAUAAAACAAAUCAUCAAUAUAAUCAAAAUAAAAUAUGAAUUGAAUUUCAAUUAAAUUAAAUAUAUUCUACAUAUACAAAAUAUUCAAAAUAAAUACUCACAAUAUAAACAAACCACCAACAUAAUCAAAAUAAAUAUGAAUUAGGGUUGGAGGAGGAGGAGAGAAACAAAAGAAAUUUGGGGGUUUUAGAAAGAAGGGAUUCGGAUCUGUGCAAAAUAGGGCUGAUAGGACACAUUGGGUAUUUUUUUUUUUGUUCAGACCUGCCCAGGACACGCUGGGCAUUUGUUUUUUGUUCAGACCUGGCCCAAAACGACGUCGUUUUGGCCAGGUCAUUUAAAAAAAUUUCCUGGGCCAAAACGACGCCGUUUUGCCCGUAUGUUUUGAAAAAAAAGAAGCGCGCAGCUUCUUCUUCCUCUUCCUGCAGUGCCGAGCUUCGUUCAGGAUUUUUGUCGAACACUUGGCGUGCGACUCCGACCCCGACGACCCCGACGACCCCAGCUCCAAGAGGUCGCGUAUGGGAGCUUCAAGGUUGUUUCCAUGGUUUCCAAGGGGUCGUGCGACCCCGACGACCCCACUGUGGAUCCGCCCCUGGCUGUGGUGUAGUGCUUGUAGUACCAGAGACAUUAAAAAAUCAGAAUGGCUAAAGAGUAGUAUUAACCAAAAUCCUAGAUCGAUCAUAUCCUUCGAUGAUCAUACAUGUCUAAUUAAGGUCUAAGGGUUAUAAUAAGAGAUUCCACCAAAGUAUAUGGUGGUUACCUCUGUGUGGUUGGGGUUGGUAGAGAUUUGAGGACUGUCCAGAUGGUAAAGGAUUUGAAAUCCUAGGUGUAAGGUUGGAUUCUUUAGUCUUGGUUAUAUAUACUUCUUGCUCUCAAAUCCCACAAAAUCCACAACUUAUUGAAAUCCUCCAAAAUCUUUUUUAGUACACUUAGAUUUGGAUGGAUUUUUAAAUCCUUUAAAAUCUUUUAAUUGACUACACAUAGAUUUGAAUGGAUUAUAAAAUCCUUUAAAAUAUUUUAAUUGACUAUAUUAGGAUUUUAAAGUCUCCAUAAAUGGGUGUAAGGCUAGCCGACAUUCACCUCUCCCAGACCCUGCGUAAAGCGGGAGCCUUGUGCAUUGGGUACGACCUUUUUAUACUCUUAUGAAAAGAAAUUUGUAAAAAUUAAAAAGUAAAUCAGCACACAUGGUGUUUUGAAAUCAAGACCUUCUCAUUAAUUUCAAACAACAAAGCCAUCAGUUCUAGUUAAACUUCAUUGUCAUUGAACCAAAUUUUAUAAAUUGAUACUCUUAUGAAAACAUAUACAAAUAUAUCACCCUAAUAAUUUUGGUGCCCCCAAUUAUUUUGGGCCUCGGAGGGUAUUAUGGGAAAAUAUGUAGGAUGCAUUAAGAUAAUUUUUAAUUGAAAAAGCAAAUGUGAUAUGUAGGGUUUAUUCAACAAUUUGUGAGGUGUUAAUAUAAUAAGCCUUUUUUUUAAAGACAAUAUUAUCUACACUAAUUAAGAGUGGAGGAGUGGGCUAAGCCUCACACUCUACUAGUCAUAUUAAUGUGAUUCAAAUCCUUUAUUGACGAAAAUCAAAUCCAAAAUUUCUCACUUACAAAUGAAUAAAAAUACUAAUACACCAUAGUACUAAGCGUUAAUAUUUUUUAAUUUUAAAACGACAGGUUUUAAAUGAGACCCUUAUUUUACUGGAUGAUGGCCAUAAUUUGGAGCUACAUGGGAAUAUGAUCAUGAACCCCUUGGCGCCAUUCUACAACAAAGCCAUUUAAUAAUGCAGCACGUAAAGUUUGACUACUUAUUAGUGAUCAGCUGUAGAACCCUUCACAAUCACAAGAUAAAUUUUUUGUGCUAAAUAUAUAAAAUGGCGGUGUUGACUUGUUCAACGCAAAUUAUUGAGCAUUUUACCACCAUAUCAUCGACACGUUGAAAACAACAUUUAGAGAUUCGUGUAUCUGAUUCAAGUACAGAUAUUUGUGAAAGCCAGGAAUAAAACAGUUGGGGAAUUGACACUUUCAUGGAAACCGGUAAGAUGGUCACAAAAAUUAAGAAUAUACAUAGAAAAAGUGAAGGGAUGUGAUAUCUACACAUUAUUUUUUACUUCUCGUGAGAAGUAAAAAAAGAUGUGUGGAUAGCACAUCCCAAAAGUGAAAUGCUUCUGUUUAGCUAUCUAAUAUACUUAUAAAAUGAUUUAGGGUCUAGUAAUAUUUAUUUGUACUUGUAUAUAAGAGAUUUUAAAUUCGAUUCACAUGAAUAAAGAUAACGUAUAAUUUUGUGUUAAGUUCGAUAACUAAUUAUAAUUUAUCAUUGUGUGCCGUAAUCUCUCUCCUCUUAGACUAGAGUAGAAUGUCUCCUUCCUUAGAAUAGAAUACAUCUUUGUAUAGAAACAAAAAAAAAUUCCAAAAAAUAUUAAAUAAAUUGAAAUUUGAAACCCAUAAUAUUACACAGUCAAAGUUGGUGAGUUUACAUGAAGUCAAUGAUGCUGAGGAUGUACCAUGUCAAAGAAAAGAAUGGACGUCAGAUGGGGCUACCAACUCUCACACAGGGAGCUCCCAGUUCAGAGUAAGCAAGCUGUAAAUGCAGUGUGCUUAAUGCUUCGUGACCAAGUAAAACUACAACGCAACUUCCACAUUUAACUACAGACGAAUCUUAGUUGGAUUAUAGGUGCAUAAUCUAAUUAACUAAAUGAAUUAGUCUCUCCCCCCCCGCCCCCCGCGACCGGCCCCCCCCCAAAAAAAAAAUUAGUCUUUUGGAUUGAGGUCAUCUCCAACCGAAGGGUCUAGAGGCCAGAGGCUGAAAAUAGUUCGAAAACCAUCUUCAACUGAGAGCUAGAUCAGAUGGCUCGUGGAAUCUAAGGCCAUCUCCAACCGAAGGGUCCAGAUGACCAAAAAUAGCCCGAAAACCGUCUCCAAUUAAGGGUUAGGCCAGAGGGCUCAUGAAAUCUGAGAGGACCCCACAGAAUCUGAAAGGGCCAAAAGGCUAGAGGGCUAGCUAUAUGCAACCAGCAAGCCAGCCUGGGGUUGGCCAGAAAAUACAUUAAUCUUGUCGAUUAUAAUGACGGGAAUGCUUAAAAAAAUUUUGAAUCGAACGGCUAACUGGUGUCAGUUAUCGUUGGAUUCAUUUUUUUUUUUUUUAAGGUUCUUUGGGCCUUUUUUUUUUAAUUCUCAAAAAUUUUAAUUUUUUUUACUAUAAAUACCUAAACCAUUCAUUCACCAUUCCUCACAAAACUUUCACCAUUCUUACACCAUUUCAAUUCUCAUAUUUUCUUUCCUCUUUCAAAAAUCUAUCCUUCAAUUUUUUCAAUAAUUUUCAAAUGGUCUCGUCUGCAAUGAAAGGUAAGGCUUGGACCCGAAAAGAAGAUGAAGCUUUAUGCAAGGUUUAUAGAUGGGUGUCGGAAGAUAGUGUGAGGGGGAAUUGUCAAACAAAUGACGGUGUUUGGACUCGUGUGUCCAAAAAAUACUUAGAGUUCUAUGAAGGCACCACUCCAGUAAAUAUUCGAAACCACGAGAGUUGUUCUUCAAGAUGGAAGAAACAUCUCCAGCCAAGUUUGAACAAAUAGCAUCAAGUAUUGUUAGCAGCCACAAGUAGACAUGAAAGUGGCGCUAAUUACUACGACGAAGUAAGUGUUUUCACAAUUUAUUUUAAAUAUUUAAUUAUAUUACAUUUAAUUUCAUAAAUUAAUUUCCUUUAAUUUUUUUUUCUAGGUACGCCAAGCAGAGGAAUUGUAUAUGGAGAGCAGCUCGAAACCCUUUCAAUUUCACAGUUGUUGGGAAAUUUGUAAAGGGUGGGUGUUAUUUGAAGAUCCACCACAUAGAGCUCCUACGCCGGUGUUCGAAACUGCAUCCUUAGCUGCAGAUAUGGAUGAAGAUGGAUCUCCAACCAUUCAACAAACAAGGGUAGAAAAUCUAUCUUCGGUUGAAGGUUCCAUACUUAGUGUUAUGGGACGAAUCAAGGCGCGUAGGUUGAAGGAAAAGGGCAAGGUAAGUGGUGAUUACGCCACUCAACAUGAACUGGCGGCCUCAUUGCGAUUAAUGGCGGAGCAAAAUGCCCUUGAGGCGGAAGAAAGGAAAAGUAGGCAUGAAGAGCGGGCCAAACAAAUACAAGAAGAGAUGGAUGAUAAGAAUAUGGAAAUGAACACUUCGAAUUACACUCCAAUGAGUAAGGCCUAUUUUGAUAGGAAAAAAAAGAACAAGAAAUUAUGACCCGGCAGCAGUUGUUUACCUAUGACUAUACUCCUACAAUGGCGGAUGAUGAAGAUGAUGUUGAUUAUGGAUAUUAAAUUUAAGUUGUCGUAGUUUUUAAAUUCAAGUUAAUGUUGUUUUUAAAUUUUAUUUGUAGUUUUUAAAUUUAAUUCGUCGUUUUUAAAUUUAAGUUGUAGUUUUUAAAUUUAAGUUGUUGGAUUUGAAUUUAAGUUUUUGUGGUUUUUAAAUUUAAAUAAUAAAUUAUGUUUGGCCAUUUGGCCCUCGGUUGGAGACGGUUUUUUGUGAUAGGGCUAAAACGAGCCCUAUGACUGACCCUUUGGCCAUCGGUUGGAGAUGGAGGCAAAUAUGGCCCUAUAUUGUUCAUUAAAAUAUUAAUAUCUUGGAGGGCCAGAGGGCUAAAACGAGCCUUCUGGCCAGCCCUCGAUUAGAGAUGGCCUAAGGGUUUGACACUCAGGCCAUCUCCAACCGAGGGCUGGCCAGAUGGCUCGUUUUAGCCCGCUGGCCCUCCACAAUAUUAAUAUUUUAAUGAACAGUACAUGGCCAUAUUUGCCUUCGUCUCCAACCGAGGGCCAAAGGGCCAUAGGGCUCGUUUUAGCCCUGUCACAAAAAACCAUCUCUAACCGAGGGCCAAAUGGCCAUAGUGCCAAACAUAAUUUAUUAUUUAAAAACUACAAUUUAAAAGUGAUGUCAGCUAGCUGUUGGUAGCUGACAUCAUGUUGACGUCAACUAGCCGUUGGAUUUGAUUUUGAUUUUUAUUUUUUUUGCAAUAAAUAGGGUGGAUAUUGGGCUAUAAUUCACACAACUUUGAAUUCAAUCUAUUUCAAUUCAAUCUCUUUCAAUUUAAUCUUUUUCAAUUCAAGUUUACAAUGAAUUCCAACUUUGGAUCCUCUUCGGAUUCCAACUAGGGGUCCUCAUCCAAUUCCAAAUUGGAAGCAAAAUAGGUGCAAAUGAGACGAGAAGAUGAGGAGUCUGAUGAAGAAGUUUAAGUAAUGCACAACAAACAAAACAAAGCAUCAGCCAUGGUGUGUCAACCAACAUAGGAACAACCUCAAUGGGGUGGCUCUGUUGCUGGUCGCUCUUACAAACCACGAAAUAGAGUGAUGACACAUGCCAAUCUAAUGAACAACUACUUCAACCCCAACUCGGUGUACACAAAAGAAGAUUUCAGACGUCACUUCCGGAUGAGGCAUCAUGUCUUCGAGCAUUACUUCAUGAUGUCCAGCAGGUCAAUCCAUACUUUCGACAAAAGUGGGACAGAGCAGGCCACCCUGGUUUCUCACCUCAUUAGAAGGUUACUGUUGCACUCCGAAUGAUGGCCUAUGGCUCCCCAACUAAUUCGAUGGAUGAAACCCAUGGUAUGUCUAAUUGUACAUGCCUUCAUACUCUUGAACAAUUCUAUGACACAAUUGUUCAGGUUUACAAAGACGAGUACCUUCGCGAGCCAAAUCAAGGAGAUCUAAAUCGGCUCAUUCACAAAUCUGAAGACCGUGGGUUUCCGGACAUGAUAGGGUCAAUAGACUGCAUGUAUUGGGAUUGGAAGAACUGUCCCAUCGAAUGGCAAGAAGGCUUUAGCGGAAGGUCGAGAAAGCCAACUGUUGUGUUAGAGGCGGUUGCCUCAUAUCACACAUGGAUCUAGCAUACUUUUUUUGGAGUCCCUGGAUCCCAAAAUGACAUUACAGUUCUUGGGCGUUCACCCCUCUUCAAUAACUUGACGAAAGGUAAAGCAUCUCAACUUGACGGAAGGAAAAACAUCUCAACUUGACUACUACAUCAACAACCGUUAAUAUAAUAUAUGGUUUUACUUGGCAGAUGGCAUCUACCCAAAGUGGGCGACACUUGUGCAAGCAAUUCCAAACCCUAGGAAUAACGCAAAAAAGUUGUUUACCUUACACCAAUAGGCAUACCAGAAAGAUGUUGAGAGAGCUUUCAGUAUUCUACAAGCACGGUGGAAGAUCAUCAACGAACUAGCAAGAGGGUGGAGUCGAGAAAAUUUGGACUCCAUCAUGAUGUCUUGCAUCAUAUUACACAAUAUGAUAGUGGAGGAUGAGUAAGAUGGGUAUAUGUAUGAAGAGUCCGAUGACGACCAAGAAGAUUCAUAUAUGUCAAGAAGGGCUCGUGCAAAAAUAUAUGAUGAACCUAAUUUGCCUUUCAAUCCAAGAAUUGAUAGUAUCUCUAUAAAUGAGUACAUGAGGCGCUAUAGAAUGAUACGUUCUCAUGCCACAAACAAGUACCUACAACAGGAUCUUGUUGCACAUCUUUGGGCCAAAAGAAGCAUGAAGUAGGCGUUGAAGUUUUAUGUUGUUAAAUGUUUUAAAAAUGUUGUUUAAGUUUCAUGUUGUUAAAUGUUUUUUUUAUGUUGUAUAAUUUGUUUGUUGGUUAAUGUUAUUUAAUGUUGUUUCAUAUUGUUUAGUGUUGUUCUAUGUUACUUAAUUUAAUUUAAUGUUGUAUAAUGGCUUAGGAAGUUAUAGGAAAAAAAUAUAAUUUAAAAAAAAUAUGAAACAAAUUUUGUGAAAUAGAAGUUAUAGGAAAAAAAUAUGAAACAAAUUUUGUGAAAUAGAAGUUAUAGGAAAAAAAAAUAGAAUUUAAAAUAAAAUGAAACAAAUUUGUCAAAUAGAAGUAUAGGAAAAAAUGGAAUUUAAAAAAAAUAUAUGAACCAAAUUUUGUAAAAUAGAAGUUAUAGGAAAAAAAAUAGAAUUUAAAAAAAAAUGAACCAAAUUUUGUAAAAUAGAAGUUAUAGGAAAAAAAUAGAAUUUAAAAAAAAAUAUGAACCAAAUUUUGUAAAAUAUAAGUUAUAGGAAGUUAUAGAAAAAAUUAGAAUUUAAAAAUAGAAAAAAAAGGGUUUAAAUUCAUAAAAAAAAAAAUUGAAUACAAUGGCUAGCUGACUCAGCUAGCCGUUGUAUUUAAAAUUUUCAUACUAUUCAUGUCGGUUAUAACCAAUAUGAUUGCAAUUAAUCAAAAUUAUUCCUAUCUAGCCGUUACUAUUCGUUCAGUUAUAACCGACACUACUGCGAUAAAAAAAAUUAUUUCUAUCGGUUAUAUCCAACAGUUUUGAGCAAAAUUCUGGCCAGCCCGGGGCUGGCUGGCUGGCUAGCUGGAAAGGGCUAGCCCUAUGGCCCUUUGGCCCUUUCAAAUUCCGUGGGGCCCAUGAGCCAUCUGGCCUAACCUUCGGUUGGAGACGGUUUUUGGGUUAUUUUCGGCCCUCUGGCCAUUUGGACCCUUUGGUUGGUGAUGGCCUUAAUUCCUGACACUAGCUAACUAAAGCUUUAACUUUUAUUUUUUAUUUUUUUCGAAAAAAGAUGGAAGAACUAUUUCCACACUGCACCAAAAAAUUUCAAGGCUAAACUGCCAAUUUGCCUUUUGAAUGAUCACUUAACUUUUGAUUUUCUUCUUGAAAUUGUUAAUUGGAAAAUUAAGGACUUAAACUAAUUUUUAUGGCCGAUUUGCCUCCUACCGUUAGUAUUUAAUAGAUUUCAUCCAAAUUAACGUUAACUUUAUCACGUGCACAUCACAUGACUCUCCUUUGUGAACAAAGCGUCACUUCGCUAGACCUUCAAACACAAAAGCUAUAAAAUCACACAUAUUUGCUUAGGUUUAUGUUUUAGAAAUCCAAGGUUUUCAAUUAUUUUAAAGAAUGAAGCGACCGAAGUAUCCUCACAUGUUAUGCACAUGCUUCCAUUUAACAGAAAUUUGGAUGGAAUGAAUGAAAAAUUAACAACAGGGGCAAAUCGGCCAAAAAAAAUUAGUUUUAGUCCUUAAUUUUCCAAUUAAAAAGUUCAGGGAGGAAAUCGAAAGUUAAGUGAUAGUUCAGAGAGCAAAUCGGCAGUUUACUCAAAUUUUCAAACUAUAAAUGUCAGGCUGUUCCAUUAUGUAUUAUUAAGUUAAUAAACCAAAACCUAAAUGCAUAAAAUUCAAAGAAUUAGUAUAUAUCUUAGGGAACAAUUUAUAUGCACUCUAAGGUUCACCUACUUAAUUAUCCACCCAGUUGUAACUAAACUCUUAUUGUACUUGUACACAAGUCAUUAUCAGAUGAUUUAUUUUAUUAAACACCAUUGAUUUUUUUUAACAAAUAAUUAAUCAAAUUUUGUAGAAGGUAAUUCAACAAAAAACGAUUUUAACUAAUCGUCAGUUUUUUAAGACAUGAAUAUUAAACAUACUCUAGUUUAAAUGAUUUUUUUGCUAAGAUGAUCUUUAAAUAGUGAUUCAGGAAGUAAAUUAUUCUAGUUAUGGAAUGUGUAUGACAAUGAUAUGUUAUCAGUGGGGGAUAAGUAUUGUGUAUCAAAAGAUGUUAAUGAAGAGGGUGGAAGUGAUGGUUGAGGAGUUGGUCAUUGGUGCAAUAGGGAAGAUCAUGGUCAAGGGAGCCGAAUCUAGGGAGAAAAUGUUGAUCAAAUGGUUAAGAUUCGUUGUGUAAAUGCAAGAAAAAUAAAUGUAGAAGCUCGUGAUUUCUCUUCUUAUUGAUAAGCUCGUGAUUUCUUUUGUUAUUCAGAAGCUAUUGUCUAAAAAAAAUAAGUUUACUUUAAGUUGCAAUAGGAUAAAUUAAUUGGGUUUGGUUUGGGGAAUUGACUUCGGAUUUAACUACCAAGUUGUAUAUAUUUUUCUUUUUUUAACAACCAAGUUGUAUCUAUUUGGGAUAUUGAUCACCAUUUCCCAAAACAGUGUUGCAUCCCUUUCAUUUAGGAGAAAACAGUAUUCAAGCAAUUUAUUUUUAAUAUACAAUGAAGUCUUUAUUACAAGAAUCAAACUUAACAUACAUCACUUAUAAAUAAGAACGAAUACCACUUAUACCAUAAUAUUAAGUGAUACUAUUCAACCAAUUUACACAGCCCAUGUCUUGUUGCAUCAUUAGCCAAACGAAAAGUCUGUUAAAUAUCAAUCUCUCAUGCAUUUAUUGGGUUUGCAAAAUUGUUAUCAAUCUCUCAUGCAUUUAUUGGGUUUGCAAAAUGGUGCUCGGCCGUAUCUAUCAUUCACAUGCUUGUGCUUGUUUACCGAAAAAAAAUGCUUGUGCUUUGAAAAAAUUGAUCGAAAGAUUAGAGAGAUACGAAUAAUACUUAAUUAGGAGAAACCCAAAAACAAGCAAUACUUUUGUUCAAGGUGAUGGUGGGUGGAUGAGGGGGGUAGCAUGUCUUCGUUGAUUUGUUCACAAUACCCUUCAUAGAACAUAUCAAAAUUAAUAAUUUUUGUUUUCUAAGUCGUGAGACAAUGUACACAUUGAGUGGAGACUUUUCUUCCAAAUAACUAAUUCUUGUUUUCUAUGAGUGGAGACUUUUCUUCCAAAUAAAAAAGCCAAGUAUAUCUCUAUCACUAUUUGGACAAUGUGUACUACUUUAUCUUUUAUUAAUUUCUGUUGGGUUGUGCCGUUGUGGGUUGGUGAUUUAUCAAUAAUUCAGACCCAUUCUACAUUAGUGUCCGUCUCAAAUAUAGUUAGAAAAAUAUAGAGAAAUAGAGAAAAAUAUUGAGGAGAUUCUCUUAAAGUAGAAUUCUCAAUAUGCUCUUUGACAUCUCACAGUUUAACGCCAAUUUUUGUUCCAACAUUAUAAAUUAUUGUGUAAAAAAUAUGAGCUAACAUAAUCCAUGAAGAGUCUCACUUUCAAAAGAGCGUAUUUAGCAUUUAUCAGUUAGUUAUAUUCCUUAUAUCAUGAUAAUGUUGCCAACUACAUUGCAUGAAUAUUUAAACACCGGUUGCAUAAUUUGUUGGACAAUACUUUGGGUUAACUAGAGACAACAAAUAUGAUGUGAUAAUAUAAAUUAGUCUUUACCGUAUAUUGUAUUGAAUCUAUAUAUUAUCAUAAUUAUCAAUCAAAGACGUUUUGGUAUUAAGACUUCCACGAUAAACUGAUCAUUUAUUUGAUGUUGAUAUAAAAAAUAAAAAAUAAACAAUUCCAAAUAUGAUGUACAUAACGAAAAUUUGUCAAUUAUAACUGCACGAACCACUAUGGAUGCAAGUAUUUUUUUGGGUAAAUUACAUAAUAUCUCAUCAGGUUUGAGGUCUAUUACAACCUCAUACAACAUAUUUAAUACAUUUCACUUUCAUACCUUAAGUACUAUUUUAUUUCAAAAUAAUACAUCCGUUAGAUUUUCCAUCUAUUAGUCUGUUAAAUGCUGACGUGGCUGCCACAUUUGUGCUGAUGUGGCUGCCACAUGGCAAUUUUUUUAUACAUUAAAAAUAUUAUAAUAUUAACCCUAUUAUAAUUUUUUUAUUUUUUUGGUUUUUGUGGCUGCCACAUUUGUGCUGAUAUGGGUUCGGGUUUUUCUAGUUUUUUUUUUUUAAAUAGGAUUAAUAUUAUAAUAUUUUUAAUGUAUAAAAAAUUAUUUUUUGCCACGUGGUAGCCACAUCAGUACAAAUGUAGCAGCCACGUUAGCAUUUAACAGACCAAUGAAUGGAAAAUCUAACGGAUGUAUUAUUUUGAAAUAAAAUAGUACGUGAGGUAUGAAAUUGAAAUGUUUUAAAGAUGUUGUAUGAAAUUGUAAUAGACCUCAAACCUGAUGGGUUAUUAUUUAAUUUACCCUUUUUUUUUUCUUCUUUUACCCACUUCUUUCUAACUAGUUUCCAAUAUGUGUAUUUUAAUUUUUAUAAGUUGUGUCACUUAGUCUUUAUCAUGUCAUUAUCCAUGUGCAAUCGCACAAUAUUCAACUCUUUCACACCCAUGUAGAUUAAAUAAAUAUCCAUUGCCAGUUUGCAGUCAACUAUGAAUAGCCUGUCCAGCUAGCAUAUAUAUGCUCCUCCUUGGACGCAACUUCUUGAUCAUUUUUCGAACAAUUUCAUUGAUGCUUGGAACAUGCAGAAAGUAGAGGUUCCUAGAUUUGUUGUUAUUUUUAUUUUUUCAAGGGAUCUUGAGUCGAUUCUUCUUGAUCUUGGAGUGAUUACUAAUUUAUACUAUGUUAUAUUCUAAUUUUGGUCCGUAGUGCGACAAGUAUAUACUAUUUUUUGGAGAGAUCAAAGUGAGUCGAUUUUCCGAACAUACUUCUACAACCGAAGAUCAUGUGCAUUUCACCAAAAAACAGAAAAAAGAAGUUCACGUGCUCAUUAGUCCGAGAAAAUGGAAUCUCUCUAAAUGGCUAGUAAUCCAUGUCUUCCUUUCUUUUUCCCCCUUUUUUAUUUUUUUACAGUUAAUUUUAAGGCCCAAGUCUUUGCAAGGAUAUAUAUGUUGGAUGCUGUCUCUAGUUCUUAAUACUCUUUGACUAAAAUUUUAAUGGUAUUUAAAGUUUGAUCAAAGUCCAUUGACUAUGUACACCUUAUUAUAUUACUAUUAAUAUUUAUAUUUUUAUAGUUUUGACAUUAAUUGUUUGACAUUUUAUGAGAUUUAUAAUCCUAUAAAUUUAAAAUCUCUCAUUAUAAUACUAUUAGAAACGAUUACAAUAAAAAAAUUCAAACAUUUUGAUUGAAUGAAUGGAUAAAAACUAUGUAAUAAUAUGAAAUAAUAAAUAGCAAAAGAAUGUAUCCAUAUUGUUAAAAAAUUGGUACAUUUCACAUAUAACAAAGUGAUACAUUCCAUUAUAAAUAAAUUAGGGUACAAAUAAAUGAUUAAAAAAUUAUAAGUACAAAUGAAAUUUUAAAAAAUAUGGGCACAAAAAGAAAUUAAUACAUGGGUACAAAUUAAAACUAAAAAGAAAGUAGUACAGAUUUAAAAAAGGGUUGCAAAUUAAAAGUGGGUAUAAACUAAAACUAUAAAUAUAUGAUACAAAGUUUAGCCAUAAAAUAUAAAUAUACCAGAUGUAAUUUUUCUAACACUAAAUGAAUAUUGUAGAAAUUUAAUGUAAUUAUGUUGUAUAUUGAAAUAAUGCCAUUCAUUAAAGCCUAAGGACCUUGAUAAAAAAAUUACAAAGAAAUAAGGUUUUAAUCAAUGGAAUAGAAAAAAGAGGGAUGAAAACCUAAUUUCUCCAUAUGUAGGGCAUAUUGACUUUUUUUUACGGUUGGUGGUUGUACUUACUGCGGUAGUGAGAAGCAUGGGCCGCAAUAAUUGUUUUCAAUUGCACGACUAUCCUAAUUGGUGGGAACCAUUAAAGCUUUAGAAACAACGGGAACGAGACGAGCAAGCUUAGCUUGGGCAAGCCAAUCUUGCCACCUUCGUAUCCCAACUAUCUUUGAUAUCUCAGGAUGAUCCUCCUCCUAUUUCGAGUUCUUCCGACAUGUCUCUGGAGUCCUCAGGUAACCGUGGUUAUGCUUUUAAUAUGAAUAGUGAUGAUACACAAUCCGGAUGAAUCAUUGACUCCGGUGCCACAUACCAUAUGACUUAUAAUCCCAUUGAUUUAGCGUGUGAUACCGUUCCACUUCUAUGUAAUAUUACUAAUGAUAAUGGUGUCACCUGACCGGUAACUGGCACUGGCACUAUGCGCCUCACGUCCACUCUCUCUUUGCCUCAUACAUUACUUGUACCUUCACUAAAACAUAGAUUGAUGUCUCCUAGCCAAGCUACUGAACAAUUGAAUUGUUGUGUGCUAAUGUAUCCAAAGUUUUAUCUUAUUCAGGAUAUUCUCACAAAAGAGAUAAUUGGUCGGUACUAAGAGGGGGGAUCUUUAUUUUGUGGAUGAUGUCAAUACAGGACGGGUCAAUCUUGCCCAAUGAGCCUUUGAUCACAAGCGAUGUCAGAUAUGGUUAUGGCAUCACCAUUUGGGUCGUCCAUCUUUUAGUUAUUUGCAGCAUAUGUUUCCGGAUUUAUUUGUUGGAUGUUUGAUUUUAGACUUAAAAUGUGACACUUGCAUACUUGCCAAGAGUUAUCUUGUUUCUUAUCCGUUGAAUUCUAAUAAAAGUAUUAUUCCUUUUGGUUUUGUUCAUUUGGAUGUUUGGGGACCAUCUUCAAUUACUACUUCAUCUGGUAUUAGGUGUUUUGUAACUUUCAUAGAUGAUUGCACACAGAUGGCAUGGUUAUACCGUCUUAAGAAUAAAGGUGAUGUUUUUUUUCGGCUUUUAAGACCUUCCACACCAUGGUUUAGACACAGUUUUCUACUAAAAUCUGAAUUUUGCGUUCUGAUAAUGGCGGUGAAUAUGUUAAUAACGAUUUUUCACAUUAUUUAACUAAUCACGGAAUUCUUCACGAAACUAACUGUCCUCAGACUCCUCAACAGAAUGGGGUAGCUGAGCGUAAAAUCACCAUUUCUUAGAAACGGCUCGCUCACUCUUGAUUAGGGCACAUGUUCCCCGCUCAUCUUGGGAUGUUGCUCUUCAAACUGCCACUUAUCUUAUUAAUCGUCUGCCAUCCAAAGUCUUGGAUUUUCUUACACCCUUACACAUCCUUGCUACAUUCGUGCAUCUACUGUCUGUGUUGGUACUCCACCUCGAGUUUAUGGAUGUGUUGUAUUUGUUCAUCUUCAUAAAAAUCAACGGAUGAAACUUGACCCAUGUGCUCUUCGUUGUAUUUUUAUGGGGUACAGACUCCAUCAUAGAGGGUACCGUUGCUACCACCCUUCUUCACGUUGAAUGUAUGUUACUAUAGAUGUUACUUUUUCAAAGUCUGAGAUGUAUUACCCUCCAGCUUCUUCCAAUCAUCAUCCUCAAGGGGAGACACUACAUGACGAGAAGGAUUGGACCAUGGAUGCUACCAUUGAUCUUCCGCUACCACUAGCUGAGCCUACAACGGCUACGUUGCCAGCCCAACCAACAACAUCAACAGUGCUACCCAUAGAACCAAUGGUAAGCACGGUAGUGUUGUCCUCACCCACGACAGCAGUGCUGCCACUUGCCAAUUUCAGACUUCUACUGAUACUACUCCCUCCUUAUCUCUAAAUAUAGUACCACCAGAUGGACAUACUCCUAAGAAUAUUCCUGAGGUAAGCUCUACUAUCCCUAUUGAUGUAUCCAAUAUUCCGAAUUAUCAAUUACCUUUCAGGCAUAACUGGGGAAAACCACCCAAUCGAUAUUCAUCGGAAACAACGAAAGACUCUAAAUACCCCAUUGCCAACUAUGUGUCGUCACAAAAAUUAUUGGAACCUGGCAAAACUUUUGUACAACAAAUAUCCAAUGAUAGCACACCAAGUUCAUUGAAGGAGGCACUAUCUGAUGAUCGAUAAACCACAACAAUGGAGGCAGAAAUGGAUGCACUUUAGAAAAAUCAAACAUCGGAUUUAGUUCCACUACCUCGAGGAACAAAAAGAGUCGGAUGUCGAUGGGUGUACACCAUCAAGUACAAAGUUGAUGAGUCUAUUGAACGAUACAAAGAACGAUUGGUGGCCAAGGGAUACACUCAGACGUAUGGUGUUUAUUAUACAGAUGCAUUUACCUUAGUAGUGAAGAUUAAUAUGGUAAGAGUGUUGCUUUCGUUGGCGGCCAACUUAGAUUGGCCAUUACAAUAAUUUGAUGUGAAAAAUGCUUUCUUACAUGGUAAUCUUAAGGAAGAAGUGUAUAUGGAUAUUCCACUUGGUUAUGCAUCAGUUUCACAACCUUAAGUAGUGUGCAAGUUGAAUAAAGAAUUAUAUGGAUUGAAAUAAUCACCUUGGGCAUGGUUUGGUAGGUUCCGGACGACUAUGAGGAAAUAUGGGUUCAGGCAGAGCAAUGACGAUCAUACACUUUUCUUGAAACAUCGAAUAGGGAAAUUGAUGACACUUAUUAUUUAUGUGGAUGAUAUGAUUGUUACGGGUGAUGAUAAAGAAGAAAUCUCAAGGCUAAAAGAUUACCUAACAACCGAGUUCGAGAUGAAAAUCUUGGUGGAUUGAAAUAUUUCUUGGGGAUAGAAGUAGCUCGAUCUAAAUAGGGUAUAUUUCUAUCUCAAAGAAAAUAUGUUCUAGACUUAUUAGCUGAAACAGGAAUGGUUGAUUGUAAACCGGCUGACACCCCCAUAGUCCAAGAUCACCAUCUUGCCAUGCAUCCAGAUCAAGUUCCCACUAACAGAGAUCGUUAUCAAAGGUUAGUUGGGAGGUUAAUUUAUUUAUCUCACACCAGGCCCAAUAUUGCAUAUGUAGUAAGUGUUGUUAGUCAGUUUAUGCAUUCUCCGACUGAUACACAUAUGGGUGCGGUUGAACGCAUCGUAUGAUACCUAAAGUCCUCCCUAGGUAGAGGCAUCAUGUUUUCCAAGAAUGAUCAUUGCCGAAUAAAAGGCUAUAUCGAUGCAAAUUGGGUAGGAAACAUUACUGAUUGACGGUUCAUAUCUGGAUACUUUACAUGUGUGGGGGGAAAUUUAGUGACUUGGCAGAGUAAGAAACAAAAAGUGGUUGCUUUAUCAAGUGCAAAGGCAGAAUACAAGGGUAUGGCAAAAGGAGUAUGUGAACUAUUAUGGCUUCGGAGGUUACUUGCUGAGCUCGGGUGUCCUUAAAAGUCGGCCUCAUAUUUGUUUUGUGAUAAUAAAGCAACUAUUGAUAUCUCACACAAUACAAUCCAGCAUGAUCUCACGAAACAUGUGGAAGUUAACAGACACUUCAUUAAGGAGAAGUUGGAUGGGAAUAUUAUUCAAUUCUCGUUCGUAAAGUCAGAGGAUCAAUUGGCAGACAUCUUAACUAAAGCUAUUGCAAGUCAAGCAUUCUACAACUCUCUUGUCAAGUUGGGCAUGAACGACAUUUAUGCACCAACUUGAGGGGGAGUGUUGGAGAGUUGACCUUUUGUAAUUAGUUAGUUACCUAUUUGGGUCCUUGUAAUCAGGAUGUAAUUAGGAAGGGUGUUAUUUGAUGUUUCUUUCCUUGUAAAUCAAUCUUGUGCAUUAUAUAUUUUCCUCCUUAAUGAGAAGAAUAAUAUCAGAAAAUUAAACCCCAAGAUAAGCCCUAAUUAGCAUAUAGGACGUGUAUUUUUAGGUCAACAGAAAAUCUCCACACAUUUUAGUAUGUCAAAGACAGUUUCAUGACUUGAAUAUGUACCUGAGAUAUCUUGAGGAAUUUGUGUGCUUUCUUAAGGGUAAGUCCCAUUUCAGUUAAGAUUCCCAGCAAGCAAAGCUUGAAUCACAAGAACAAAAUCCCAUGACUGACUUCCAAAAGUCUGCAUCUUGAUUCCAUCCUCUCCAAGGCAGAUAUAAUCGUAAGUCUAGGAAGAUGCUUCUUGAAAGCUUCUCCACUAGGAUCCUAGGCCCAGCAAGCAAGCAUCCUCAAUGGAUUUUCUGCGCAUCCGAUUGUAAUAUAGCAACUGGUCUCAUCUUCAUAAUGAAAUUGGUCAUUUGUGAAUUGAAUUGCGUUGUCCCUGAUCUUGUUGAAGGUCCAGCGUUUUAGGAGAGGCUCGGCGAUAUUAUAAAAACUGUCCCACAUAAAACGUUGUACAGGACCAUGAGGAUAGUAGUUAUCUUCCUGCGUUAGUCAACAUUGCAUAGCACAGCACCUUUAUGUAUGUGAACAAGUUUCUUUAAGAACAUAAUAAAAUUGAACAAUAGCAUGAACUAUGUAAGGAACAAAAAGGUAAACUCACGGUUGCACACCAAUGGCGCACUUUAGGCCUGUUAAUUUCACAGUAAAUUUCUUGUCUCAAUUCCUCAACAAGAGGAGUGAUCGGGCCAACAAAUCUGGUGGCGUAAAAGUAAGACAUAGGUGGGUAAGUCAACCUACUGUAGCUGAACAUUUUUGCUGCAGAUGUGAGGUAGUACCAGUUAGAAGACUUGUAACUAUUUAACUUGAGCAACAAGAAACUCGGGUGUGGAAGAAAACUGUGCUUACGUGGAUGAGAAGGAAGCAGAGUAGACCGAGUCCAGAAUUCUGGAGGCAUUGGAUUGCUACCUUCCCAGUCAUACACACCAAGAAUCUGCAACACAAGUUAAACCAUUUGAACAAUAAAAUGUCUUUUAAGACACAUUCCUUAAAAUCCUUUUGCAGUAUGACAUACUACUAUUUAAAUCAACUCGUACGUUAUAGCACCACCAUCCAAGUUUUUCCCCAUGAUGCAGAAUAGUAGGCACCACCAUAGGGCCAUCCUCCGAGAAUAGGCGUCGUACGGUAGUUAAGGAAUGUAGUAAACAUCAUACUAAGCCCUGUUAUGUGCAAUCCCAAGCCACCAUCUUCAUUUUGAUGGUCGUAUGUGUAACGCAAGAUUUCCUUUUUGUGCUCAGCUGUGAAAAUGACAUUGAGAUAUCCUGGAAUCUAUACAGAGUAAUUUUUUGGCAAUAGAGAAAAAAAAAUAUAAUAAUUCUUGUCACAUAUGUGCAAUUAAACAGAUCUUUUAAAUAAUGCACGAUUAAAGGUUCAGCCCCUAUACUGCAUGAGGUGUCCCCCUCUCCCUUUUCUUUCUCGCCGUCAACAAUAGUAAAUGCAAAAAAUAUCUUAUAUAUGGUGGCGGAUUUAGAAUAUUGUUCUUGUGACGGUUAAAAAAAAAAAACCCAUAUAAUUACAUAAAUAUUAAUGCAUGGUCAUUUAUAAUUGGACUUAAUCUCACGGUUAAAAACAAAAAAAAAAACCAUAUAAUUACAUAAAUAUUAAUGCAUGAUCAUUUAUAAUUGGACUUAAUAUCAACUGUGACGAUUAAAAAAAAAAAAAAAAAAAAAAAAAAAAAACCCAUGUAAUACAUUAUAUUAAUGCAUGGUUAUUUAUAAUUGGACUUCAUAUCAACUGUGAACAAUAAAUACAUGUACUUCUGAUAUUUGAUCCCAGCCUUUGAUAUCAAAUUCAAAAGUGGGUGACAAUGUAUCCUUAUCAUGGGUGAUCAAGAGAGCACAACUCUAUGUAAUUAGUAAAAAGUUUCAAACUUUGAAUAUGAAUAACAUUUCUAGUGAGUAGAUUUGGGGUGUUCUAUCCCCCUAGACCAUCUCCAACUCAUGGGAUAAAACUUAAAAUAUAAGCUUUAAAACCCCCAAACAAUCUCCAACCUUGGGCUAAAAUAAGUAAUAGGGAUAAAAUAUAUCUCUGGGCUAGAUUCCUCCAGGAUUUAAGUCUGGCUUAAAUUAUUCUGGACCCACCAAACUAUCAUAUUUCGAACAUUUUUUUUUGUUUUUUACUUAUAAUCUAAUGACUAUGAUCAAAUGAGAUCAAAUUUAAUAGUAAAAAAAAAGAAGAUUUGCAGCCCAAAAUUAAAUCUAACAUUUAAAAUAAUUUAAGAAAAUAAUUUAAAUCAAAUUUAACUUAAAAUUUUAUAAAUACCUAUGUACUUGUAUGCUUUUUAAUUACUUAUUGGAAUUUAAAUAUUUUUAGACUAAAAUGUUCAUAAAAAUAAAUUAAGAUAAUCUACAUAAAUUUUAUUUUUAAAAAAGUUACUGAAAACAAAAGCUAGGCUAAAAUCAUUAUUUAAUCAUCGCGCCCUAAAUUUUUAAGCCACAAGAGUUGGAGGAAAAAAACAGUUCCUGACUUAUGGCUUAAAAUUUUUUGGCUUAUAUUUUUAAGGUUUAUCCCCAAAAGUUGGAGAUGGUCUUAUGUUACCAAAAAAAAAAAACUUAACUGGGUCUUUUUUUUUUUUAAUAUUGUAUAGUUGUUAUUCGUGGCUUUUGUUUUUUGUUUUUUUUUUUGUUUUUUUGUUUUUGUUUUUUUAUAUAUAAUGAUAUAUUUAUAUUAAGAAAGUGAAAAAUAAAUUAAGCGAACUCAUCAGUUAUGGAGUUCAAUCUCAUUUUGUCAUUUAUAGAAUAUUAAAAUUAUGUGAGAAGACCGACGAAUACUCGGUUAGACAUGCUAUUUCCUACAAAGGCUAACAAUAGUCGGCCAAAUACUUGGUCAGAAAAAGUUUGGCCGGCUGUGUCAACUUACCCGUGUGCCCUCUGAGCCAUGACUAUUUUUCUUCAUAAUUGUUGCCAUUGUUUUACAUGUUGGCCCGAAUCCUACUUAACUCUUUCUUUUGGUUGAUAACGGUGCAUACAAUGCGAAAGAAAACAAAAACUAUAUAAGAAUGUUACGAGGCCGAGCGAUUAGUAGUGGACAAUAAAGAAAAUUUUUCUCAAAAAGUAACCAUCAACAAAAUUCGUUUUGCGACAAAUAUAUAUGCCAAAAUUUUCAAAACUAACUCCAGUGAAAAAGAACACGACAAAUAAUACUCUCAUAAUAAUUUUACGACAAAUAUAUAUGCCAAAUUUGACAAAACUAACUCCAAUGAAUAAGAUCACGACAAAUAAUACUCCCAUAACAAAUUAAAACAUAAUUACAUGUAAUAGCUCAUAAUAAAUUGUAACAUACUGUAUGUUACAUACAUUACAAAACUUUGAUAAAAAAAAUUUGAUGAGGUUAAUGUAAAUGAUGCAUAUAUAUAACCAACAUCUAAUGAGAAAAACAUAUUACUUGGCACAACACGUAUAUAUCCCUUAUUAUAUCAGAUGGUAUGCUAAUACCGUACAAAAAUUUAAACUCCCUAACAUUUUUCAUAUUAUAUACAAUAAUGUCUCGAUAAUAUAUGGUUGUGAUUGGUGGUGACCCCAGUUUUGAAAUAAAAUGGUUAUGGUGAGCAAGGACAAUGUAGAUCAAUAAGCAGUAAUGUACUGAAUAGUGGCUAUGCUAGACUUUGUUAGUGAUAAUGAUCCAGCUGUGGAUAAUAAUUAGAUCUGAUUAAUUUAAUGCAAAUUAUGCAACAAGAAGCAAUUUUCCAUUCAAUUCAACAAAACAGUCAAACUACUAGUAUUUUAUUUAUACGACAAUAUUCUUUUGAGUAAAUUAUAGCAAUAAUCUUUCAACUUUAAUCAAAUUGGAGCAAUGGUCCCUCAACUAAAAUUUAUUACCAUUGGUCCCUCAAUUCAUUAAAAUGUGUAGUUAUGAUUGUUUUCAUCAACUUCGUCAUAAUUUUGUCAAAAUGAGUUAUGUUGGAAGGACCAUUGCUACAAUUGGGUUAAAGUUGAGGGACAAUUUCUCCAAUUGGGUUAAAGUUGAGGGGCAAUUUCUCCAGUUGGAUUAAAGUUGAGGGAUCAUUGGUAAUGAAUUUUUAGUUGAGAGACCAAUGAUAAUGAAUUUUUAGUUGAGGGACCAUUGCUCCAAUUGAGUUAAAAUUGAAAGACCAUUGCUACAAUUUACUCUAUUCUUUUAGGGGAGGCAAAUUCUCGUGACGAUGUGAAAAAAAAUAUCUCAUUCAAGAAAUUUGUCAAAAGAUUUCUAAGGAGUUGGUUUAAUGGACCUUAACUUCCUUCGAUUUUAACAUUUUUUACAAGAAGCGACAACAAAAUUCCAUUAACGGAUUGUAACAGUUACCUAGAUUAUCACAUGAGUGCAUUUUCUAGUUAAAUUUAAUGAUCUAGAGAUAAUUCGCACAAACAAGUAUAGAUAGUAAUCGCCAAAUAACAUAAGCACAUACACUACUGGUACUAGCACAAGCACCAACGGUAUAAAUUUACCCCAAAAAAUGGCGGAUCAACUUAAGUAUAAUUAAUUGAGUACACUUUUUCUGUCGAAGUCUAAAAUAGUAUUUAACUAUAUAUUUGAAUAUUACUGAUAUAUAUAUAUAUAUAUAUAUUUUUUUUUUUUUUGUUUGUAUAAAUACACAAUUAUUGUCCAUUGAUGUGCUCACAUGGCCAGCAAAAAGGAAGAAGGAAAUCUCAAAGAUUGAUGUUUACACAACUUCACAUGGAUUGAGUGAAGUACUGAAAUUACAUAUAAAUUUUGUUUUUAUUUUGCAAAAAAAAGUAGAGUCUCAUUGGCAGAGAGAGAGAGAGAGAGAACAAAGAAGGGAAAACCAAGCUGUCUCAUCCGAAAGAGUCUUCUCCAGAUCUAUUAUACGAGAAUUUUAAGAAUUCUUAUAUCGUAGUCGUUUAUUGUAUAUUGUGUAGUUAAUUUUCAUUAGGUACUAUUUUUGUUUAAUUUCAAAUAAAAAAAUUAAAUGAUUUCUAACCGCAUAAUAUACAAUAAAUUACUAAAAUGUGAAGAUUCCUAAAAUUCUUACAAUUUGAACCGGAUGGGAUUCAAAUCCGUCCCCUCCCUUCUCAGUUUUCUUCCCAAAGUACCAAGUGGCAACUUCUAAAUUCCCAAUUCCAAGUCUUUCCGCUCAGAACCCAAUUCCAAGUUAAAGAAACAGAGUCUUUCUUUCAAACUGAAAGUUCAAUGAUCAAUUUCUCCAAUUAACACAAAACCCAUAAAAAAAGAUUCAAACUUUCUUCGGCAUUGAUUGGCAAAUUUGCAAGAACUCAUUAGUUCUGAAGAAUUAAAGGAGAAGUAAAAAAAUGUGGAAGCUGAAGGUAGGGGCAGAGACAGUAGGAGGAGAAGGUGGCGGUCAGUGGCUGAAGAGUGUGAACAACCACUUGGGCCGCCAAGUGUGGGAGUUCCACCCAGAGAUUGGAACCCCAGAAGAGCUUCAGCAAAUUGAAGAUGCCCGCAAGGCN
This 58203-nucleotide long non-coding RNA is filed under the name Malus domestica (apple). RNAcentral describes it as "long non-coding RNA (MDOM_LNC008086)". Lineage: Eukaryota; Viridiplantae; Streptophyta; Magnoliopsida; Rosales; Rosaceae. The record is from RNAcentral.